This 53143-nucleotide long non-coding RNA is filed under the name Sorghum bicolor (sorghum). RNAcentral's name for it is "long non-coding RNA (SBIC_LNC009907)". Lineage: Eukaryota; Viridiplantae; Streptophyta; Magnoliopsida; Poales; Poaceae. The record is from RNAcentral.
GAGGCCCAAAGCUUGUCUAGUUCUAGUCGCCAAGGUGGAGGCCGAAAUCAAGUUCGAGUCCACCUCGAAAUAUAGGAGGAGUAUGUCCUGGGCAAAAUUGACGCCCAUAGCACAUACGAACAAGGUUUGCGAGGUCCACAUAUGUAUGGAAAGAUAAUUUGAUAUGCUAAUCAAUGGCUUUUGUUUCAUGUCAAAACUCACACAAAGUCAAUGGAAUCGUUGAAAUAAGUUAGCGUCCCUAAUCUGCCAAGGUUCUAGAUCAACAUCUUUUGGUUCAUUGGGUCGUAUCCAACAGUUUGCCAUUGAGCUUGCCAUCCUUAAAAAUUUGGCAAAAUCAAAAAAAAUCACUCUCCAACAGUUUGCCAAUUCAACUUGCUAUUCUUAUCAACUUGCAAAACCUCGAUGCCGCGCGCGCAAAUAUACGCGCGUGUAUUGGCUUGCCGUCGCGAGCGCAGACGUCGCUGAUUCCCUUCCCCCACGCGCAGUGAAAAUUCUGCGGCUCUUCCCUGGCAUCGACUUCCUGCUUCGCGAUCUCAUCAUCUUCCUUCUCGUCACCACUUUCGCCAUCAGGUCCCGGCCGACCUGCUCCUGCCCGCCGCCGUGAUCAGCUCGCGAUAGCACCAUCAGGUCCCGGCCGAUCUGCUCUAGUCCGCCGCCGCGAUCAGCUCCUCACAAUAGCGCCAUCAGGUCACGGCGGCCGAUCUGCUCCUGCCCGCCGCUGCGAUGAUCAGCUCUUGGGCACCGCGAUCAUCUCCGGCCUGUCCGGCCAGCUCCUCGUCGCAGCCGCGAGCAGGUAGCCUACUUGAUCUUUUCCCGAUCUUCAUGCCGUCUUGAUCGUCUAGCCUGGCUUCUUCUUCGUGUUCAGCUGCUGCCAUCGUUGUUCCAAUUGCUAGUUUGAUGACAUCGAUCCUUGCUUAGAUGACAUCACAUGAUAUUUUGUGGCAGUUUUUCUUUACAAGAAUAAAUCUAGAAAUACAAUGGAAAUACAUAUAUCUUAUCAUUGUAUAUGGCCGAGUAGUACAUGGCCGGCUGGGAGAGAGAUGGCUGGUGGCCGAUAACUUCUGUUCUUUGUAGUACCUGAUCAUGGCACUGUGCAUAUUUUUCUGUCUCCUGUAUCCAUGGACGGGCAUGCUCCUGUAUGCUCUUUGCACUUGCUGGUGGCCGACAGCUUCUAUUCACAGCUCCGUAGCAGGCGUCAAUGGUGCAUAAAAAAACUUGAUUCAAAUGAUUGUUGGACCUAAAUGAUUCAUCCAUCGUGAGAUGGAGUUUCUGCGGCGGCGUACACGCGCGAGGAUCGUCCCUUCAUAUACGCGCAGAGGGGAAUAUAUCAUACCUAUCAACAACCCUGGUGGGCCCUUUAUUUUUUUUUGUUUUAGCAAGUUAAAAAUAAGAAACUGUUGGAGAGAACCUCUUUUUAACUUGGCAUAUUUUUUUAGCAACUUGCCAAAAUACAACAUUUGCCAAGUGAAUUUUGGCAAACUGUUGGAGAUGCUGGCGCGUCUAGUGGUUGACACCCAAACUCUAUAAUUAGUCAUCGUCACUCUCAUUAGGGUUGGGUUUUGUUCCAUUUUUGUUUUCCUCAUGAAACAGUAUGUCACAUUCUGGUGUUGAAGACGAAUAAAGGGGUGUUGCUAAUGUUGAGGGUGAGGCAUGCUGGAUUCGUCAACUCUUGGGCGAGCUUCAUCAUCGUGUAACACAGGCAACUCUUGUUUAUUGUGACAACAUCAGUAAACGUGUAUUCAUCCACAAAUCUAGUUCAUCACCAAUGGACCAGGCAUGUAGAGAUCGAUCUCCAUUUUGUUUGGGAGCAAGUGGCCCUUAGAGCUGUGUGAGUUCUUCAUGUUCUGACAUCCCAUAAUAUGCUGACAUAUUCACUAAGGGGCUAUGAUCUACCAUCUUCAUCAACUUUCGAUCUAGUGUCAAUGUUUGCUCCUCUCCCAGUUGAAACUGUGGGAGGAUAUUAGAAUGUGAAAAGCCUAGAAUGUCAUAAUAAAGAGUCCCUCGUAUGAAGACUCAUGUAAUCUAUAUGAAGAGUCAUUAAUCCCUUAUAUAAACUAGUGAUCAUGAAUGGAAAUUGCUAAGUCAGUUUCUAUCAGUUUCUCAUAUUAGAAAUAUGUUGUCUUUUUGUUUCCAUAUAAAAACUAGCAAGUGAUUCUUUAGAAAUUCCCAUAGCAAUGCAUAGGGAAUCACCCAGUAUAACUAUAUGGCCGUGCAGAUGGGUAAUAAUCUGAAAGUGAAUCAUCAACCACUCAUUUAGAAGCUGCUCAUGGCUCUUUAGCCUUUUGCCUAGCCUGCCGGAUUUGGCCUACGACCAGCCUACCUCUUGAGCCAUCCACGAUGCAACAUAGAAAGGCUAAACGUUUGAGCGAUUGUUCUCCGUGACUCAGAGUCACAACAUGUCAACAUUCACUGAUGAAUGCUUCAUGUCGCCAUGGCAUCGUGUAUAUAUGGUUCUAUAACACUGCAGCCCUUUAGUAGCCUGUAGCAUUUGUGAAGUUGGCCCAUGUGGCUAAAGUAGGCCUAUGUAGCCCAAGUGGCUUAUGUGUGGUUGUGGUUGGUGGGUUUACUACUACCAUGGAAGUCUAGGAGGGUGAAGGCCAGCUUAUAAGCCUUAUUGUUCCAAAUGUAGCACCUCUAGGUUAACCCUUUGACACGAAGCAAAGAUGAAAGUGUAAGCUAGGUGCUACGCGUAUGCAGGCUUGUUCCAUGUGUAAAGCUGGGCAAUAUAAGUAGUUUUUAGAUGUGGGGUGUUAGAGAUGGUAUUCGGAGCCUUAAUCCUUGCUUCAUGUUUCCUGUGGAGGGGUAUACCAAGGGGUGGUCUUGCACAUAUGCCACAUAUAUGUGAUGAGCUGUCGAAGACAUCAACCCUUAAGGGAGGCUGAAUAUAACACCCUAGCCUAAAGUAGUUGUGAAGUUGGGCCAUGUGGCUCAAGUGGCCUAUGUGUGGUUGUGAUUAGUGGGUGGAAGUCUAGGAGAGUGAGGGCUAGCUUAUCUCUACUAUAAUGCACCUAACAGAAUUAUGCUUGGUUCAGUCAAGAAAAUCACCUCCGCUGAGGGUGUCCACCACUGCGCACCCCAAAAAAAGCACACAGAAAUUUAUCUAUAUUAAAAUCAAUGGCUGAUAAAACACUAAGAUCAAAUCCAAUGGUCAGCAGAGGAAGUUUGAUGCGAGGCUUCAAACUCCCCCAACACCCGCACUCCACGGCUUCAAACGCACAUGGCAAGGCACCUCGACAACCAGCGAUCGAUCCCUGGUGCCAUCACCGAAUUAAAAAUGGAAGCCAUCACCGAAGAAAAAAAUGAAAGACACCGCCACGCACGUGCCCCGACGCCGGCACUCCACCUCCCCUACGACGCACCGUGCAGGAGUGCAGGACGCUGGACACCGCCUCGGCCAGGACCCAGGAGUGGUCGCCUUGACUCUGCCCCAUCCCACAGCUCCCUCUCGCAUGUACCUCCCACGGCCACGGCCAGGCGGGCGAACAGGCCGCCAGGCAGUUGGGCGGCCAGCGGAGCAGGCGGGUCCCAUCGCCCUAUGUUUUGUGUGUGGCCGUGGUAAAUGCGUACGAGUUAGGCUGCCACUGCCCCCAAAUUGUUGCGCUUCCAAGCUGGCCACGUCUGAUCCCUAUGCACAUGGAGGCCGGAGCCGGGGGAGAGGCCGUGAGGGGCACUGCCCGUCUGCGCCGUUUGCGUUGGGGCUAGGCGCCACGGAGGCUGGCGGGCCGCAGACGGACAGCGGGCGACUUGGUGGAUGGCAGCGAGGUCGAUUCAUCCGCGCCGUCGUCGUCGCUCGAGGACAAGCGCUUGGCAGGGGUCGUGCCUUCCAACUGGGCACCACAGCGGUGUCUGAGGUGUCCUCUGGCGCAGGUGGCUCCGGCUGAUCAGCGACUACUACUCCACUGUACCAUCUUGCGUCUAUUACUGAUCUGUUGCUAAUCAAUCGUGUCAUUGUGUGCAGGUGCAGGCUGUGGUAAGUGAGGCAGCCGAGUGGUGUACAGAUAGAGAUGCCGAUUGCACAUAUAGGUAUGUAAUAUUCACCCUUGAAACCUAUUGCACAUAUAGGUAUGUAAUAUUCACCCUUGCACAUAUAGGAUUUGAUGCAAAAAGGAGAUCAAAGUAACAUUUUGAUUAGACCAUGGAAGUCUGGCCACAAACUUUUGUGGGUAACCAUGCGACAUGUAAAUGUUGCUUUGCUAUGUAUCGAUGCCUAUCACCAUUCCAUUUCAAUUUUGAAGGCUUAUUUUUUUCCAAUAUAUUAGUUGAUAAUUCACCUCUACUUUAAAGAUAGAGUAUAUGAAUUUAACUGCGUUCAUUUCAUCAUACAGAUUUGAUAUAUGCAAAUGAUCCUAUAAUGGUAUUUUCCCCAGUUGGGAAACACUAUGGUUGUAAAGAUAUUAAGAGGAUCAUGGCAUCAUGCCAACUAUGUAUUUCCAUGGCUCUUUAAUGUUUAUGUUGAAAAGCCAAUAGUAAAUGGUGUGGGCUUUAUAAGUGGGGUAACAAAUGGACUAUUUUACUUCCAAAUUCCCAUAUAAGUAUGCCUGUUGGUUUAGGAAAAUCAAUAAUGAUACACAUAACUCUUACUGUUAGUAAAACUUUAAGUGUUAGUGACUCUGCAUCUGAAGUAGUACAAGCUUCUGUCUUCUUCUUCUUGUUGCUUCUCUGCCAUUUGUGUAAAAUUGGUACAUUCUUUUAGCAGAUUUCCAUGUAUGAUGAUAGCCUCAUUUUCCAGUUUAGUGAUGAUUGAAAAUACUUUGGUGUUGCCCAAUCGAAUAGCAAAUACAUAUUUGGAGAGAACUUCGUAUCAUUAUUAACAUGUUAGCUAUGCAUAAAAUAUAGAAUCGUUAUGUUUUUAUUAGCUGGGUUAUAUGUUUCUUAGCUAAUGAAUAACUUUAUGUAGGUUGUUCACAAGAAUACUGCAUUUGUUCUUUACAUGACCACCGUCAAGAACGAGGACGUUCAGCCUGCAGGCUAUUAAGGUAGGUUUUAUGAAUAUCUUUUUCUCCAUAUCCAAUUUGUGUUCAAUUGACUUGUGUGCUUACUAGAACUCAUUCACUCCUAGGCCAACUUCAAAUACAAGUUUCAUGAGAUCAAGAAGAACUGGGGUGGUGGUGUCAAGGGCUCCAAAUCACAUGUGAAAACCAAGGGCAGGGGAAAGCUGCUGGCCAAGGAAGCUGAUCAGCGGUUGACCUACAUCACACCCUGUUAAAUUUAACUUGUACGACGUAUGCAAUCAUACUGAUGUGUACUCCCUCUGUCCCAAAUUUAUUGACGUUUUAGGAAUCGCGGUGGAUACCAAGGAAGAAACAAAAUGACCUGCACACCCCUACGAAGUGUAACAGUCUGUACACCUUUUAUAUGUCUUAUCACUGAAAUAGCCGUAAAAGGCCGCGUGCAGGAACUUGUAUCCAUCACUGCAGCAACCUUUCAUCAAAAACCAUGCACUUCGAUCGAUUAUUUUUUCCUUAAACAAAUGAAUCAUGAUGUUUGCCGGGACAUGGUUCAUUAAUUGCUCAUAUGUUCUGUCAUUGUUGUAACCGAUUCCUAUAGGCACAUGUUCAUUCAACCUAGCAGAACGACACUCUUUGUGGGACUUACUUCUAGAGCUAAAACGUCAGUAAAUUUGGGACAGAGGGAGUAUGUUCAAAAUGUUGCCGUAGGAUACUCUCACUUCAUUUGCUGGUUUGGUUUGCAGCUUUACAUGGCUGCAUUAGUCAUAUCAUUCACUAUUUUCUUUUGGACCCAUGUUUACUGCCCAUCAAUUCAGACUUCGUCAGAUGAAAACACCCAACUUUAUGUUUGUUUUGGAUAUGUCCAUGCUUUCCGGGCCAUAUGCAAGUUUUAUGUAUACUUUUAAACCUUGGAAAUGGAUGUGGCCAAUAAUUUUGAUAUAUUCUAAUCACAUUUUGAUUAGGGUAAUCGUAGGCUUUCUUUGUUAGAACAUGUAUUAUCUUCCGUUUGGUUGAUUUGUGUUCUUAGAUGACACCGUAGCGUUAGCACGGGUAAUAUACUAGUAAGCCUUAAUGUUCCAAAUGUAGCACCUCCAGGUUAACCCUUUUGCAUGAAGUGAGAACGAAAGUGUAAGCGAGGUAUCGUUCCAUAUGCAGAGUUGGGCCAUAUAAGCAGUUUUUGAACGUGGGGCAGUGUUAUAUAGGUUCAAACAUCUCUUGUGGCGCCAUCCGAUCAUGGAGAGCACUGGGCACAAGUCCCCCAUCUGCGACCACAAGUCCUUGUGUUGCCAAGUUAGUGAGUUCUCCCUCAGCACAGAGUAGAUCAGAGACUCUGAAUUAAUCUCUCAUCGAGAUCACUAGAUCAGGGCAUCAAAAUGAUUACAAGAUCAUUGAUAAGGUAAGCCCAAUGGCCAAUGCUCCUAUUAGUUUAAUUUCUUGUUAGUCAUGGCAUACUUAUCUGAUUAAUUUAUGAAGCACAGUUCAUAAAUUAUAUAAGGAUUUAUUCAAAAGAUAAAAAUAAGGGUAAUGCCAAAACAAGAUUGUAAUUUUUUUACAUAGAAAAUUUGCUAUAAAAUAAUUACUAUAUGUGCUUUAAUAUACUCUGCCAAAUAAUUGGUGGUGGUUUGUACAACCACAAUGCGACCUAACAAUGGUUUGUACAGCCACGAUGCAACCUCACAAUUCACAUUCAUUAUUUGACAAUUGAUUCUUGUUUUAAUCCUUGUUUCUCAUGAUUAGGGUCUGUCUAGUUUACCUAUGAGCUAUGGAAAAGUUGUUGUGAGCUGUGGAAAACCCGUUAUGAGUUGAUGUGGAAAGGUUACAACCUGUUUUUCAAGAAACUAUGAAAGCUUCCCCAUCCUAUAUCUCCCACGAAACAAAUGUGAAACAAGAUUUUUUUUUGGCAACAUAGCACUUUUCAAAAGGUGAACUGAACGUAGCCUGGUAUACAUGAUAAUGUGAAGCUGCAUUGCCAUGAAAACUUGAAACACGACAGCGAUAAGUAACAACUAUGUGAAUUUAGAUGGACACAUAUGUGAUUGAAAUUAGGAAUGGUUAUUUCAUGCACUAAUGCUCAUGGAAGACACCCCCACCACCACCGCCAAUUGUGUUGGAUCAUAGAAAUGAACUUGAUCUAGUUAUUCGUCUUGCACACGACCUACUCUGUCCAACCCAAAAUAACUACACAAACAUCCCUAUCCCACAAUAACUACCAACAAACCUAGUAAGUUUAAUUAAACCUGUGCACAUGAUCUAUGAUUGCACAAUGGCUUAUGCAAUUAAAAUCUAAUAUGAAAAUUCACAUUCAUUGUGUGACAAUAUAUACUUCUUAUUUUAAUCCUUGUUUCUUGUGAUUAGGGUUUGUUUGGUUCAGCUAUGAGCUGUGGAAAAUAUAGCUGCUAUGAGCUCUGAGUUGUGAAAAAGUUAUGUGGUAUGGAAAACCUGUAAAUAAAUUUGAUACGUUGUGAGUUAUGCAUUGUGAGAUGUGGAAAAGCUUUUAUAACUAAUUUUAUGGCGAACAUAUAUACACACUAUUUGCUUCCAUUCAAAAUUUUAGUUUUUUGGACCACUUCUAGGUAUUGUUAUAACUUAUUAGUGGUAAUCUAUAGAUAGACAACUGAAUUGUCCUUGCAAAACAAUUGAAUUUUUCAUCUAACUCCAUGACAAUUGAAUAGACCAUAUUUGCCCAAAUAUAGUUUUUCAUGCCUUUUUUGAAUCUUAUUGGGGUAUACAAUGUUCAAUAUGAUUUGGGGUACAUAAAACUUACAAUAACAAAGACCUUAAAUUAAGACUACGUAUAUAGUAAGACCUUUUCAGGAAAGAGGUGCAACAUUUUUUCUGACUAGGUUAAUUGUCACAUCCAUCGCAACUUAUAAUUUAGCACGUGGUGGUGCAUGUUAACGAGAUAUUGUGGGGGGUUUAGUCUCACUUUAGUUGUUAAGGGUGGGUUAGACUCUGGGGGAAACCCCGCUGCGUUAAUUUAGCCAAGUCGAGUGCCAUCCACUUGGCUAGCUCAAGUUAGGCAAACAACCUCGAUAGGCCCCCAGAAGUGCACAUAACAACUCCUCUUUGGGAUCUUUGCGUUGAGUUACACACACAUACCCAAUACAAAACAUACUGGACAACUCAAUCACAUACAGCCUCUUGUCUCACGUUUAUACUUAAAGCAUUGUUGAUAAGAAAAUGCACUUUUAGUAUAUAAGAUUACUACUAAGUCUAAUGUUCUGAACAACUCUAUUCCUACACUGGGUUGGCUCUUGUCGCUCAUCUACUCAUCGAGUUACACACAGUUCAUCUUGGAGAACACCCAUUCCAAGGCCUCCUAACCGUUGCAUUCACCGGUGCUAAUCUCAGGAAUAUGCCUGGCCUGGUCACCUGCAAAACAACUUAACAGUUGCAUUGUCAGUACAUUGUGCAUUCACAUGACUUAAUUCAAACUUAUAGUAUUUGGUAGAUGCAUAGGGUGAUUAUUUACGCAUUUGUAUAGGUGCAAAAAGCAAUGAUAUCAUUAAGAGUAUGACAUGCUAUGCUAACAUUAAGGUUAAAGCAUUUAUCAUUAUCACAAAGGUGCUCAUGGUCCAUCAUCAAUUCUACCAUGGGUAUAGAAAGAAAGAACAACCGAAUAGUUCCGUCCCAUGGGACUCUAGCCUUUCAAGACUGUAUAGAGGUGUACUAUUGUACCCACAUGGAAAACAGGACUAACCACUAUACACCAGGUCCGGUAGUAAGGGUUCCCUCACAUUGUCCAACCUUUUCCUAAUCCAGCCCCUGUCUGAUGAAAGGUUCAACUGGGUUCCUAGUCAAUGUCUCGGAGAUUCCUGACCAUUUCUUGAUGCCCGUCUUAAAAAAGAGAGAAGAAAAAAGAGAUGAAUAAGAUAGCCCAUGAGUUAUUGCAAAGUUGUUUCUUAGUGCCAAUAGAGAGAUAUGUUUUCAAGGAGCAAAGUAGAAUUAGGAUUAGCCACUAUAUACAUAUAUUCACCAUAUUCUAUGUACAUGCACAUGUACAUCUCAUUUGAUUGUAUGAUUUAACUCUCUUUGGAUCUAAGAUUUGACUUUACAAUAUUUGAAUCGCAAGUAUGUUCUUUUAUCUUUUCUCCCUACUUAUGAACUCCACUAUAAGCUUUCGUUGUAGGAAGAGAAAGGCACAAUGCUACCAUUGUCUAGGUAAGGAUCCUCAAAUACCACAUACACUAAGAGAUUUGAGAGUGUCAUUGAGUUAAGCUUUGAGUUUUAUUGCGAAAACUUAUGAAAAACUCUAGAAUAUAGGUUGAGCAAAGAGAGUGAGACAUAGUGCUUGACUUGAUUGUUCUAUCAUUCAAUUGCUCAAGACCCAAGUGAAAGUUGAAAAGCCCCAUAGUUGAUAGUAAUAUGAGUAAGUUUGAAAGUCAGAGCAGUUCAUCUAAUCCAAAGGAGAAAUUUUGUUUGAAAGCAUGUGUACUUUUUAGGCGUGAAAGCAUUGAUGCAACUUCUAAUCCAAGUUUCCUAAGUUUAGGUUUUCUAAAGGACUAGCAAAGGGUAAGCUUGGGGGAGAUUGUUGAUGGUGGAUAAUGUCAAUAUUUAUAAUUGAAUAAACAUGAGAAAGGGUAUAAAAGAAUUAAUCUAUGUAAGUCUAGGGUUUAAACUGACAGAUUAUAUGAGUUUUAGUGAAUUAUUAUUUUAUGCACGAUUAUUCUAGAAAAAAAAACAAGGAGGAACUAUUCGUCAAAUAUAACUAUCAACUUACUCUGUGAAAAUUAUCAGAGAAUACUCCAAAAGGAUGAAGAAUUGACCACGGCAAAGAGGGCCCUGAAAGGCCUCAAAAGAGGGCCGGCCGGUCUGGGCCUAGGGUUGGCUGGCCUAGCCUAGAGCCCCCUUGUCUAUGUCUUCUGGAAGCUUCCUCCACCACCUCUAAGGAUAUAUCUAAACCAUCCCUUAGGUUAGUUUGAUCAAGGUGAAAGGUCCUUGUUUGGUUUUGGUAAUUGAGUGACAACUUAGGUGGACUUAUAGUGUUUAUGUGAGAUACAUAGGAGAUUAGUCUACAUGUGAAUAUGUGAUGAUGGAGGAGCAUUUUGUAUUUACCGUUGUGGUUUUUGAAACCGCCAUGGCCAUAAGGUCACGGUUAAUCGUGGCUUAACUGAGGUGGUUUACACAACCGCCUCGGUUAAAAUAUUAAUCGUGGUGGUUUCCUUAUGUAGCCCGCCACGGUUAAUGUUUUAACUGAGGCGGUUUUGUUAUGUUGCCCACCCUCUAUUAAAAUUUUAAUGAAGGUGGUUAUUUUUAUCAGUCAGUGAUUGGUUGGUGCAUGGUUUCAUCAACAUUGGAGGAGAUGAAAUGGAAUGCACAAGGCAAAGUUAUAACCUAGGGCAUUUCCAUUUUACUGGUCAUAAGUGUGUAGAAAAGUUUAUGACAUGAUUUAGGAUAGAUGGUCGUCCUAUCAAGAGGGGCAAAAUUGUUUGCAUAUAGGUCAUCUAGUGCCACUUGAGCGAUCUAACUUUGCAUACGUGUUAGGAUCAAAGUGAAGUGCUCAUUUUCCAUUGUACUGGAGGAAAGUUUCAGAAAAGUCAUACGAGUGUUUCUCAGCAAGAAACACUUGUUGGACACCGGGUCAGACAACGUCGGAUGCUGAGGCCGUGUGAGACGAGUUCACCAUAGAGAGGCGCAUGUUCAACCGUGUGUCGAAGUGUCUGAUGCCCUAGCAUCGGCGCGUCCGAUACUCACACUGUAGUAGUAGGGUUUUGUCUAUGGACAUGUGAGACACUCAGAGUGAGACGCUGAGAGUGCAUCUGAUGUCCCUUCGUCAGACAUGUCCAACAACCUAGCGAGUUUGUAGACUUCUCUGAGUAGCGUCUGAUGUGGAGACACUGCAUCUGACGUGGACCAUUGGAGCGUCCGAUGUGACUAUGUGUGUGCUUGUGCGAGUUAGCCAUUAGCAGAAAUGGUCGAGUUCAAAUGGCUAGCGACAUAUGGUAGCACGAAGAGCGUCGGACGUUGGGGUUGCGCGUCUAGUGCAUCUGACGCCCACACAUUUUGCCCUAUGAAGGGGCAACGGCUAGUUUAGCCAUUGAGGCUAUAAAUAGUAGUGUUGGCAGGCUUGGCUGGUGGCUAAGUACACUAUGGCCUUGGUGCCUUUUUGUGGUGGUGCUUGGGAGCCCUCUAACUCACAUAUGCUUGAUAGUGAUCAUUCGAUUGUGUGAGUGGGUGAUUCUAGUGAUGUAUUGAGAGAUUACAUCGAGUGGCACUAGGGGUUAGUACUGCAAGCCAAUGGUGCUUGUUACUCUUAGAGGUUGACACCUCCUAGAUGGAUUAGUGGCUUGUGACUCUGUCAAAGCACACAAGGAGGUUGUGUGGUGCUCCGGAGAAGUUAUUGUGAGGGGUACGGUGCUCACCCAUGGGAUCAUGAAGAGAAACUCUAGUAGAGCGAGACGUGAUGAAGGGCGACAAGUGGUCUGGCCAUGUCAAGUGCUAGAGCUUGUGGUAAGCACUCCACAUGGGAGAGUGUGACUUGCGGGUCACCACUAGCAAGAUAACUGGUGGCAACCUUAGAGCUUGUCUCAACGGAGACGUACCUUGGUGGCAACGAAGUGAACCUUAGGAAAAAUCCUUGUGUCAACAGUGUUCUUCCCAUUGGUUUGCAAGUCCCUAACACAAGCUUGUAUUUACAUUCAUAUACUUGUCCUUUGUGUAGUUGCUCUUGUAAUUAGUUAGCUUAUGUAGCUUGCUAGUUACCUUCUUGCUUGUGUAGCUAGAAGUAGUUCCCUUGCAUGGCUAAUUUUGUUUGGUAAUCUUGUUAGUAACAAUGCUUAGUUUGUAUAGCUAAGUAAGAGCAUCUCCAAGGGUUUUGCAUUUGGACUUUGCAUUCUUGUAAUUUGCCAAAAAUCGCAAAAAGAGGUAUCCAAUGGUUUUGCAUUUGGAGUUUGCAUUUUGGGCAAGUUGGCAAAUGAGAGAGCAAACUUGGCAUAUAUGCUAAGCCACGCACGGCUUGGCAAAAUGCGAGAACUGGCGGUGACUUUAUGCACACGAAGAAAAGUCAUGCGGGAAGACGACCGCGAGUGCGCGUGAAGGAAAAAAAUUGUGGUCGGGUCCACUUUGGCUAAUUGCCAACUCAAUUUUGCAAAACUCUUGGAGAUGGCCUAUUUUUAGAUUUUGCAUUUUGUUUUGGGAGUUUGCAAACAACAACAAAUGCCAACUCAAUUAUGCAAAACCCUUGGAGAUGCUCUAAAUUGUGCUCUCUAAUUUGGCAUUAGUUGCCUUGUUAUUGAGCAUUGCUAGUGAGCUUAGGAGCUUUGUGCUUUUUCUUACUAGUUGUGUAGGAGCUCCCUCGGUGUGUAACGUACUAGUGGCAUAGGUUUUUGUGUCCUUGCUCCUAGAAUUGGUUAGGUGAGCUCUAGCUAAGGAAGCAUCUUGUUUGCUUGUUUAGGAUCUUUUACAAGGUGCUAGAGAACUUAGGUAGAGGGGUGUAGUCUUAGCUAGACUGAUAGUUUUUAUUCUGCAUUUGUUUCGGUUAGCUGGUGCGAUAAGUUUUAGAAAGGACUAUUUACACCCCUCUAGUCUGCCAUCUCGACACUUCAAUUGGUAUCAGAGCAAGGUCUCUCAUUUAUGAUCUUUACCGACCCAAUAGGAUGGCGGCUUAUGGGCUAAAUGAUUGUGAGACACACAUUUUUUAUGGUACAAACUUUGCACAUUGUAAAAUCACAUGCUUGAUCAUUUUUGUGCAAAGGGACCUAAGUUUCGGUGGGUUGUCACUAAUGGUCUCACACACAACUUGGACCAUAAGAAUCUCACCAAAGCUCAAAAGGCUCUCUUUGAACUUGAUUGUGAAGCGUAUUGUUAUCUAAUGAAACCUUUGAGCUUUGAGUUCUUUGAUAGGAUAAACUCCAAAUAAACCACUUAUGAAAUGUGGGAGUCUAUCAAACACACCUUCGGUGAUUCCUCCACAUGGGAUGAUGGCAAGUUCAAAAAGGAGGAACCAAAGGUGGAGAAACAUGAGUGUGUUGAGCACGACCACAACAUCAUGGUUAAGUGAUGAUACUACCACAAGAUCACUUGACAAGUGAUGCAAAUGAUGAUGCUACCCCAUGCACACUUGAUGGUGAAGAUGAUGGCUAUGAGAUUGAUGCAUCUACAAGCUCAUCCACUUCAUCACAUUGCUUCAUGUCACCCGGGGACAACAAGGUAUCUAUUGGUGGUGUGAUUGUUGAUUGUGAUGAUCCAAAUUUUGAGCUUAUAUGUAGACACACUAAAGCUUUAAGAAAUGAGAUGGAAAAAAAGUAAAUUGAAAAAUGAAAACUCAUUUCUAAAGACCACAUGUGAACAACAAAAACAUCUACUUUAUGUUACUACUUGUUCACAUGAGGAGCUAAAAUUGGCUCAUGAGGAACUUUGUGUUGCUUAUGAUAAUUUGGUACAAAAUCAUGCUUUUAUCACUAAGAAGCUUUCUAAUGAAGAAAUUAAAACAAGUGAGAGGUCAUCAUUUGGGUCAAAUGAUCAAUCACAUAUUAUUGCUAACCCUUGUGAUGUAGGCAAGAAGCAUGUAUACACCACUUAUGAUAUUUUAUUAUCUAUGCCAUGUUCUUCACAUAUAGAUGCUUGUUCUACUUAUAUGUCUUGUGAGACUAACCUUUUAAAGGAGAACAAUGAGCUUAAUUAACAAGUGAAGAAAUUGAGCAACAAGUUGGAGAGGUGCUACAACUCAAAACUCACCUUUGAGCAUAUAUUGAAGACUCAAAGAAACUAUGGUGACAAGUGUGGCCUUGGCUUCAAAAAGAAGAUGACAAACGGUAAAAUAAAAAUAGAAAAGAAGAUGAAGAGGAAAUAAAGAGAGAAGCUCUCUUAUUUCAUGUGCUAUCGGUGCCAUGAAGUGGGACAUCUUGCUAACACUUACCCUAACAAAUAGAAGCUCAAGAAGAUAAAAGAAGAAGAGAGCCUCAAGCAUGUCAAAUGCUUCAAGUGCCACACUUAGAGUCAUCUCACCCCAAUGUGCUGAACCACACAAUUGGUGAAGCAACAAGAAGAGCCUCAACCAAAGCCACAAGUUGAGAAAGAAAAGAAGUCCCAAGCUCAAGUCAAAAUCUACCAUGAAGAUGGUGGUGACAUGGGGAUGAUGAAGAAGAAGACAAGAAGGGGAGGAAGAAAAUCAAGAUCAUCAAAAGACCUCACCCACAUCAAGUGCUUUGAGUGCAAGAAUGAUGAACACUUUGCCUAGAAGUGUCCUACCAAGCUUGAGAAAAAGGCUCAAGCAACUCUCAAGAGACAAGGCAAUGAGAAGCAACACAUGAGCAAGGAAGAAAAGGCUCAACCCAAGAGAAGUUGCUACUUAUGCCGGGAAAGGGGACACAUGGCAUAUUCAUAUCCCCUAGGUAACACUUCUAACCUAGUUCAAUUGUUAAUACUAAUGUGCUUAGAAAGGAUGAUGAUGGUACCUCUAUGGUUUCUAUUACAAAACAUCCCGCUACUCAUACUAAGGCUAAGCCUAAGUAUGUUGCACCUAACUUGAGAGGACCCAAACUAGUUUGGGUACCACCAAAAAGUGGAUGAAUGUCUGUAGAUAUCAUUGGCAUUCAAGGCUUGAUUCAAUUGAUUUCAUAUUGAUCAUCACUUGUUGAGUCAAGUAUUGAAGCUUAUUGCAUAUCCUAUCCCAAUUCUAUGACAAGUUAGUGAAGUCCGAAUGCUACAACAUACAAGUGCUAUAUUCAAGCCGUGGAUGAUUUAUUGGAUUAUUUGAUGGCUUGCAAAGUUAUGAGUAAAAGCUUGCUAUAUGGAUGAUCAUGAGCUAACCAAGGUAUAUCUUGUUAAUUUAUUCAUUUGGGUGCAUAUGAGUUGAUUGAAUUGGUGUAUAUAUAUAUAUAUAUAUAUAUAUAUAUAUAUAUAUAUAUAUAUAUAUAUAUAUAUAUAUAUAAAAUGUUGCUUGCUACAAGAUGAUUGAAUGGAUUGAAUAUUCAAACAAGUCUAUUUCAAGUUUGAUUCAAUUUGAAGAAGUAUAGCUCAGUUGCUUGAAAUCUGUCCUAUAUUGAAAACCUGGGCUAGCUGCGAUCAACUCUGAGUUUGAGUGGUCAAAUCUAUUUAUAAUGGCUUGAAAUUUGAUAUGCAUGCUGUACACUUACCAUAGAAGAUGCUGUAGAAAUUUCAUGAGGAUUAGAUAAGGGAUACUCUAGUUUUGGAAUGGAUCUUGUCAGUUAUAGUGCAGCAGUUUUCGGCAUGUAAUAGUGGUGAGAAUUGAAAUCUGGUAGCUGUAAUACCCAAUUUUAAGAACAAAACCAGAUAUGCACCAUAUGUGAGUCUUAGAAGCCAAAUCUCACAUAUAGCUACAAAUAAGGGGUAAUAUCAAAAGACAAUGCAUAAGUUAUAUAACGUACUUAGUAUAAAAGAGAUAACCCUUAGUAACAAACAGCGGAUAGAUAACUCCAACUUCGGGUAUUAACUCCACUCUACAGGAUCCAACUGACUGGUUGAUCACAAGCCUAAACUUCUCCUUAGUCCAAAUGCUAUACUUGAUCCUGCUGGUCUUACUAGUUGUCCAAGGCUCUGAUCUUGAUCACUGAAGCACUCUUGUUCACCACAGAUUGCUCACCGUGUUGGUGGACAGAGAGUAGGUUCACCAGCAGUGACGCUUUCUUAGAGCUACAGCAACGCCGGAGCAGCCGACCGUUCGUAUAUGUCGUGUAUAGGUGAGACGAUGGCGAUCACGUUGUAGAGAAGAAAAUAUAAAUUUUAUUUUACUACCUUAGGAAUUCUCAAAUUAGAGGCUUCCCAUAUGAUAGUCUUUGAUGUGCUUUGUCUAAGGGGUUGGUACAUAUAUAUAUAUAUAGGGAGAAAAACUCCCCACCUCCACGUCCACUAGCGAUAUGGUACUAAUUGAUUUACAACCUUCAUCUUUACUAAUAGGCCUAAUUAAUUAUUAAAGCCCAUUAGUAAAUAAAGACAUUGACCAUUGAGAUCAUGGGCUUGAGCGUGAGAUAAAAUGAAAGAUUUUAUUAUUUUCGAAAUUAAUUAAUUUGGCGAAUAAAAUAAUCCUAGAAAAGUCCAGAAUUAUGAUUUAAGCCAUGAAAAAUACUCCGAAAGCUUCGAAAAUUCAGGAAAAAUUCUCAGAGAUAUUAUAGAACAUGGGGAACCCGAAUAAAGCUUUUGGAGCUCAUGAGAAGAUUGUUUGGAGCAUCUAAAAAUUAGAUCAUGCUCACAGAAAAAGUGAGAACAGAAGCUGAAAAAAUUCCCGAAAAAUUUGUAGAGAGUGCUUGAUGGACGAGGAACUAAAAGAAGUGCUUUGAGUGACAAAGAAAAUAUUUUAGAAAGGUCCUAAUAAAAAUUUGAGCUUAGAAACAAGGAAUUUGGUUGUAGAUAAAAGAUAAAUACGUGUCGAAUAAGGAAGAUCGAUCUAUUAAACGUAUUUUAAAUAUUUUUCUUACUAUCCACACAUAAAGGAGCAACAAGCAUCACAUCAAAACAUAUGCAUCAGCAUGUAUGCAUAAUAAUAUUGCCAAGCCUUAUGAUAAAUUUUAAUUUAAUGAAAAAUAUUAUUUUUCCUAUAUUUUCAUGAGCAUAAAAAUACAAAAUUAAAUAAUUUUAUCUAUAUUUCAAAAGGAGUAAAUUUUAGGGUGUUACAAUUCUACCCCCUUAAGAUGAAUCUCGUCCUCGAGAUUCGGAAGACGGUUAUCAAAGAGACGUAGAUUUUGAAUCUUGUUCACCUUUCUUGAGUAGUUAUAUCUUCAUAGCAAUGAUUCCACUCUCUUACUCCAAGUAGCCUCUCAAGUAUUCCUAAAAUAUUAACGAGACACCUAGUGUAGUAGGUACGAUCCUUCUUUAAACUUAUUUCUCCUAUCCUUUUUAGACGCUACACAUCAUAUAGUCUUUUAAAUUCGCUGUUCCGAGUCUCUUGAUCCAAGGUUAGUUUCAUCACUAAGUUCCAAUUAUCGGUACCUUUAUCACAGUUAAGUUGCUUCACUCUCACACUAUACAUACAACUCUGUAGACUUUGGUGUCAUCUGAUCCUCAUACACAACUCUUAAUCCAUAAGUAUCAGUAAUGACAUAAACCUCCAUUGGUAUUAGCACACUCCAAAUAGAAUGAUAUCUUGAAACAAACCAACAUACCAAGCACUUGAUGUCCUUGUAGAUGUUCUAACUAUUAACCACUUCUUCUCCUUGUAGUUCUUUAAUUGGGCUACCCCCUUAAGAAAAGUCAACUAGGGGACCAUGAAAGGUAGCUUGCAUACUUUCCAGACAAGUUAACAUUGAGAACUUAUGACAUUCCAAAGAACUUAUGUGCAGUGGAGCAAACAGGUACCCUGAAAUUUCCUCGCGAUAUGAAAAAUGCCAGCGUAGUAAAACAGGUAUAACUCUUAUUCUGUUAAUCCAAUAGAGUUGCAGAUAUAUCGUUAGAAAACUUAUGAAAUUCCCUACAACUUUCAUGUAGAAGUUUGUCUUUAAGCAUAGGUAAAAUAACCAAACAUAAUAUCCUUCAUGAUAAUGUCUCAGUAAAGGUGCAGUAACUUCCAAAAAUUAUAUCUCGAGCUACUUAACUCAUCUGGAGAUGAUCCUUACAUUUUUGAAAAUCUUAGGAAAUCCUCUACAACUUUCGUAUACCAUGUUUUUCCAGAUUCUGUCUUUAACUUGGCCGAAAAUAGGGAAUACCAAAACUGUCCAGACUUUGAUACAGAACAGAAACAUCCAAUUGUAAAUAUCAUAUCUCAGGUUCUACUUAGCCAAAUAAGUUCCACCUUAUACCGUUAGAAAUCUUAGCAAGUCGUCUAUAACUUGUCUAUAGAACACUUUUCCAAAUUCUAUAGUUAUAUUUGUCUCAAACAGCAAGUUCCCGAAACUGGUCCAGAUUCUGGACAGCACAUCUGUAUCAUCUUGUGAUUUUUUUAACUUCCAAACCAUAAUAGCUAUGAGGGUGAUUCUUGCGGUCAGAGAAAUAUCUUGAAGUCUAGUUGUUCCCAGAAAAAUUUGAUAAACUUUACAUGACCGGACCUUUAGAUACACCAGCAUUAUUGUAAACUGCUCCAGAAAUCAGCAAGGGAUAGAAACCAGAGAUAGCCAAACCCAACUAGCUACUUAUUUCAUUAAUCCUUAUGCCUUAGGUUUAUAAACUAAUGAAAUUGUGAAGUAAUUCCACAAGAUCAUUGCAAUCAUUACAAAGAUCCAAAUCAAACAUAAGCAUAAUAACAAACCAACUAAGCACACUUCAGUCAACUUGCGAUAUUAUCGUUCUCUUCAUUAAGGGCAAAGAUCCUAAAACUUAUGUUUCAAAGACGCAAGAAUGGGGUAAGAAAAGAUUCUAAUAGCAUACUGAAUCAAGGAGUGAAAGUGAGAACAUGUACUUUUAAAAUAAGUAACAAGGUGGAGACAAAUAGCAAGGAUAGGGAUAUAGUAUGGAUGAAAAUACCAAGGUUUAUGGAGCAAGAAUUUUAUGACAAUUCCAAAACCUUAAGACGACAAAUUUCUAACUAGGCUUGUCUCCUACAGUCAGCAUUGCUCUGAUACCACUUUGUAAUACCCAAUUUUAAGAACAAAACCAGAUAUACACCAUAUGUGAGUCUUAGAAGCCAAAUCUCACAUAUAGCUACAAAUAAGGGGUAAUAUCAAAAGACAAUGCAUAAGUUAUAUAACGUACUUAGUAUAAAAGAGAUAACCUUUAGUAACAAACAGCGGAUAGAUAACUCCAACUUCGGGUAUUAACUCCACUCUACAGCAUCCAACUGACUGGUUGAUCACAAGCCUAAACUUCUCCUCAGCCCAAAUGCUAUACUUGAUCCUGCUGGUCUUACUAGUUGUCCAAGGCUCUGAUCUUGAUCACUGAAGCACUCUUGUUCACCACAGAUUGCUCACCGUGUUGGUGGACAGGGAGUAGGUUCACCGGCAGUGACGCUUUCUUGGAGCUACAGCAACGCCGGAGCAGCCGACCGUUCGUAUAUGUCGUGUAUAGGCGAGACGAUGGCGAUCACGUUGUAGAGAAGAAAAUAGAAAUUUUAUUUUACUACCUUAGGAAUUCUCAAAUUAGAGGCUUCCCAUAUGAUAGUCUUUGAUGUGCUUUGCCUAAGGGGUUGGUACAUAUAUAUAUAGGGAGAAAAACUCCCCGUCUCCACGUCAACUAGCGAUAUGGUACUAAUUGAUUUGCAACCUUCAUCUUUACUAAUAGGUCUAAUUAAUUAUUAAAGCCCAUUAGUAAAUAAAGACAUUGACCAUUGAGAUCAUGGGCUUGAGCGUGAGAUAAAAUGAAAGAUUUUAUUAUUUUCGAAAUUAAUUAAUUUGGCGAAUAAAAUAAUCCUAGAAAACUCCAGAAUUAUGAUUUAAGCCAUGAAAAAUACUCCGAAAGCUUCGAAAAUUCAAGAAAAAUUCUCAGAGAUAUUAUAGAACAUGGGGAACCCGAAUAAAGCUUUUGGAGCUCAUGAGAAGAUUGUUUGGAGCAUCUAAAAAUUAGAUCAUGCUCACAGAAAAGUGAGAACAGAAGCUGAAAAAAUUCCGAAAAAAUUGUAGAGAGUGCUUGAUGGACGAGGAACUAAAAGAAGUGCUUUGAGUGACAAAGAAAAUAUUUUAGAAAUGUCCUAAUAAAAAUUUGAGCUUAGAAACAAGGAAUUUGGUUGUAGAUAAAAGAUAAAUAUGUGUCGAAUAAGGAAGAUCGAUCUAUUAAACGUAUUUUAAAUAUUUUUCUUACUAUCAACACAUAAAGGAGCAACAAGCAUCACAUCAAAACAUAUGCAUCAGCAUGUAUGCAUAAUAAUAUUGCCAAGCCUUAUGAUAAAUUUUAAUUUAAUGAAAAAUAUUAUUUUUCCUAUAUUUUCAUGAGCAUAAAAAUACAAAAUUAAAUAAUUUUAUCUAUAUUUCAAAAGGAGUAAAUUUUAGGGUGUUACAGUAGCAAUCUACAAGUCCAAUGAAGCUCAAAUUGUUACAGCUGCUAGAUUCCAAUGAAGCUCAAAUUGUUACAGCUGCUAGAUUAGGUAGUGAAGCACAAUUCCACCAAAUGUCAUGGUAUUUUGGUUUGUACCUUGUGAGAUAUGGAUUUAUCAUUGAAGGGUACAGAAUGUGCUAGAAAAGUGAUGUUUGUUGGAUUGAUCUAGAGUCACUUUGAUUGAAAGGUCCUCAAGUUGGAAACAUGAUUAUGAGUGUUUGAGGCACCUAACUUUGGUUUUCAAUUGAUCUUAGCAUGACAAAUAUUGAGUACAAGGCUAUUUGAUUGUGGAAUGUACUUGGUGUACACAUUUAGUACUCAAGUUGAAGAUCAACAUCAAAAUCAAGAUAAUAAUGAAGUAUAGGUUCUAGUGACUAUUGGAGAUCAUUUGGUAGAAAGAAAAGGACUUAAACAAGUAGAAAGAAAAGGACUUAAAGAAGAAUUCAUGGUUAAGCUUUAUUAGAUAUACGAUGAGAGAGUGAAGGCUGUAUAAAAUGUCUUGUGCCACAAAUACCACAUAUCUUGAGAGCAAGAGAGAAGGCAUCACUCCUUUCAAUGUCUUAGAGAGGAUCCAAAAAUACCAUAUAUUGAGAGACUUAAAAGGGUCAUACUAAAGAACUCUGAGUUUUAUUUUGAAAAUCUUAUAAAAACUCUAGAACAGAGGUGGAACAACAGAGCAUGAGACAACAAUGCUUAACUUAAUUGUUCUAUCUUUCAAUUACUCAAGACCCAAGUAUAGGUAAAAGCCCAUGAUUAGAAGAAAUAUGAGUAAGUUUGGAAGUUAUGAUAGUCCACUCUAUUCUAGGGAUGAACUCUUAUUUAAAGCAUGUGUAUGUGUAAAGAGUGAAAGUAUUGUAGCAACUCCUAAUCCAUCUCUUGUAGCUAUUUGCUCAGGGACAAGCAAAAGGUAAGCUUGGGGGAGUUUGUUGAUGGUUGUUAACCAUCAAUUUUAUAUGUCAAUCAAGGAGAGAAAAGGGGAUAAAAACUAAACAUCACCAUAGACUUAAGGUUUUCACUGACAAUUUCCACGAGUUUUGAUGAAUGUCUGUUUCUGCAGGGGGUUAUCGGAAAUUAACCAAAAGAGGCCCACAUGUCAGAUUUACAUAGAGAGAAGACCAUGUCAGUAACUCAAGAACAAUCUAGAAGACUCGAGAAGGCAACCCUACAAAGUGGGGCCCACCUGGCAGCUAGCCAGGGGCGGGCGCCCAAUGGCCAAGGGCGGCCGCCCGGGAAGUUCUAUCAAUUAGGUGCAACCUCGCGGAUCCUGCCUCCACCACCUUUGAGGAGUAAUCUUGGCCAUCUAUCAAGGUCAGUUUGAUCCGAGGGCUAUGGUGCUUCCUAGAUACUGAUGUUUUUUUAAAAUCUGUAGCAAAUCUUGUCACAAUGUCACAUGCCAAGUCUACACAGACAAAGAAGGCAUCACGCAGCAGCAAAUGAUGGCAGCAAACGUAAAACACCACAAGCACUGUAUCCUACCACGUAAGUGAAUUUAGGAGUUUCUUAUUUAAUUUUGCUGCAUUUUCAUAUGUCACAGGAGUGUGUUUCCUGAAAGCUGCAGAUUGUGUUUCUGUUUUCAGGUCAGAACGAGCUAGAGAUAGUGUGGUGCAGCAAUAGGAUCGUAGUGCUCACCGGCUCUUUUUGAAAGAUUUUAUUAGCAAAUCAUGAGUUAGUGCUGUACAAGCCAAUAAUAAUUCGUGUGAACAUUUGUACAAAAACAAAUGUUGAUGUAUCAAUAAAAAAGAUGAGCAGUGUCUUGUAGCAAUGUUGUGAUGAUGUGGCACAAAUUUGUGAUAUAAAAACAAAUUGUAAAAAGGCAGUGAAAAUUUGGUAAUAAUUUGUGAUGUUCUUUUUCGUCACUAUGGUUUGGAUCUGGGCUUGGAUACGGGCUGGUUAUAGAAGAUACACAACUAAUGCAUGACGAUCACAAAUUGGAAUCUAUGACGCCUUAAUUGGUCCAGCAAAUGUAUGACGUGAGAUACAUGACAGAUUUUUUGAUCGUCAUGGUAAGUUAACUAUGACGUAUUUUUGACGGUUUGUGACCAAAGUGAUCGUCAUGUAAAGCACCAUUCCUUGUAGUGAGAGGGCUAUAAAUACAAGUCUGACCCCGCCCCUGGGGAGAGAGGAUAAGAAGUAUUAUUAUUCUCAUCUGAGAAUUAGAGGUAGCCAUUAGCAGAGCCAGGGAUUAGAGAUAUCUCCACCAGAGAAUUAGAAUAGCUACUCCAAAUCUUCAUCUUCUACAUAGGUUUAGACUAGAUAGAGAAAAAGUCGGCACUUGUGCUCGGAUUUCCAGAUCUUCAUCAUCAAAGAUUGGUAUUAUCUUGUAUCUUUCUUUUGACUUUAUUUUAAAUAUCAUUAUGCUUCUAUUUAUUAUGUUUCUAGUUUAUUCUAGUUCUACAUUUGAUAUAGUUAUGAUUGGUGAUUAGUUUAUGUAUAUGUUUGCAAAGAGCUUAGCUCUCUUCACGAGAGGGUUAGGUGAUAGAUGUCAUGUAAGCAUGGUGCUUAGAUGUAGUUUAUCUACAAGUGCACCCUAUUGGCCGGGUCGUGUGGUAGAUCGCGGAAGUGGCAGUUCCGUUAAGUCCUUCAUAUUCCAUCCCCCGUUGGUAGGACAGGUAGAAUCGUAGUUACGUAGGAAGUCUAGCUAUGUCUUGGCUUUUUAUAGCAAUGUUCCUUAUACAUAGAUGAAGAGUCUUUUGUGCUAUAUAUAAUAAUGUAGCAUUAGAAUAGAUGAAUGACUUGGUAAAUUAGAACUACUUAGGAUUUUUUAUCUCUUAAACUAAUCAGACGUCGACCUACUAUUAAGCUGAGUAGUCUAUCUCUAAUCUCUGUGUGAUUUAUUUCUUGAGCUUUUAUAAUUCAUAUUAUUUAUCUAUCAUGGUUUACCCAUUUGCCAAGUAUGUGGCUAUGCAACCCAUCACUCAUAAGUAAUCAUGUUUUGCAAGUUUAUCUCAUUGUUUAAGCCCUUAGUUCUUUUCCUUGAGCUAAAUAUAAAUAACAACACCUAGAAUACUUUCCAGUGAAGUGCUGCAAUGGUAUUUAAUCUAUACGCUUGCGGAUCCUAUGUUUAUUUUAUUACUGGCAUAGUUUUUAUACCAACACUUUUGGCGCUAUGCUAGAGAUGAUAACUUAGCUUAAGUGGUGUUGGAAGUGUCAACAGUAAGACAUAGCGAUCACACACAAUAAUACUUUGGAGCAAUAGUAUGUUUUCGACCCUGAAUGAAGUGAGGAGAAAGAGUGGUGGGAAGAUUGCCAAAAAGCUCUACAAAAACACCGGUACCAAUCCAAACAUGGUGGGAUUGCAAAGGUCUUACAGAGUCAUCACCUCUGGGGCUACCACAACUGUCCAUGGGAUUGGGCACAAACUCAAGUAAACACUAGCCUAGACACCACAUCUACGCUAAUAAUUAGUACUCUAGUCAAGUACUAUAACUAGAGCACUCGAUAUGAGCGGAGAUCCUAUGCUAAAGGGAGAUAUAACUAUACUAACCAUACUAUAGAUAAACAAUUAAGGCAUGCACUAGAUAACAAGUUCCUAAAUCCAAAAGUACUAAAGCAACAGAGUAAUAGUGACACUCAGACUAUGCAAGACAAGUAAACAAACAAGAUACUAAUAUUAUUGCAUAGAAAGUAAUAUAUUGAAAUAAGGAAAGUACUAUAAGAAAGAUAUAUAGCUAUACCAUACUCCUGCAGACCGCUCAGGACUCUAGGAAGAGCUCCUCUUCACUCUAACUCUCACUCACACUAAAACCACAACUUGAGAGUAGAGAUAGUUUCUAUUAUGGUAUGCGUUACAAGUGAGUGUUAGAAAUUUAGAAAAAAUUAGCAGUAAUUUAAUCUAGAAAAUUAACAUAAUAAUUAUGUUGGUGACAUCAAAAAUAUAUGCUUGUGUGUUCUAAACAUGAACGUCAGGUAGACAAGACUAGCCAGCAAGAAUUUAACACAAGACCUUGUUGGAAAUAAGACUUUAGGAUUAUACCCAGUGGUACUAGAGCCGGUUACUCUAGUCGACAAGUAGUCGUCCCGUGCGAUGCCGUGUACUCCCUCCAUACACAUAAAAGAAGUCAUUUUAGACAAAGUUUGGGUCAAACUUUGAAAAUAUAAAUCAUGAAUAACUUUUAAGUUGUUGAGCCUGAAAAUAUGAAAACCAUAUAUGGAUAGAUUUAUCUUGAAAAAUACUUUUAUAAAAAUAUAUCUAUACCACUUUUUUAUAAAUAUUUUUAUAAUAAUAAGAAGUCAAAGUUAGACUUUGGAGACCGUGCUAUUGUCCAAAAUGACUUGUUUUAUGGGUAUGGAGAGAGUAGAUAUGUAGAAGUGCCGAUCGACUCGAUGACGUAUGCAGCCACUAGGAAGAAGAGGGUGACGCGAUUAGUCAUGCCGUCAGCGACACUUCCCAAAAACAUGAUUACCGUCCUUCACCCGUGCAGAUGAACUUGAAGAUGGCAGGUGUUCCGGAGGCCUACUCUCCUAGUUCCUGUGCACGCAAGAAUCAGGAAAGAGAUGACAGAUAGCAGCGCAACAGUAGUGUGAUGAUGUUUUUGUCUAUGUGUUCUCAAUUCUCACAAAAUAAGAGGAGUUCUCCUUUUAUACAGCAACACAAGAAGAUAAAGCCAAAGGGCCAGGUGUAUGAAGAAUUAGUAGUCAUCAUGUCAUUGUCUAUUACAAGUAACUUAUAAAACCGAUAAUUCAAUUAUCUGUUACUAGUAAUGGAAAUCACUAUGACACCAUAAACCACUAAAUCAUGAUUCACCAUCACAUAAUGGUCAUCAUGCACUUAACCCUCAUCAACCCAUAAGUUACACCACAUAAAGGAUCCAACUUAAUACACGUAGCAUUAUCUUUGAUCUUGGAAUCCUAAUUGAUUUAAUUGCUAAAUAAAAAUUGACAAACCCAAUUAAAUCCAACAUAGUGAGGGGUGAGGGUCCUAUUUAUAGCCUAAGGUGGAGUAGGGGGCUACUCCAACUUCACGUCAAUGAUCCACAUGAUGUUCCUUGGUUACCGUUGGAUGAAACCGCCAUAGAACCGACUUGGAAUGGAUGUUUUAGAUCAUCUGAGGUGCAUGACGACAUGCUCGAAGUCGGUGUAGGUGAUUGGCCACUAAGGGGUGUCGCUCGGCCCUCUUGGUUGGCUCCCAAAGGCGGUUGUAGAGGCAGCACGUGCGAAGAUUUGGACAGGAAGUUAGUUUGAAAUUCAAUUGGAGACCUCUAAGAUAAUGACAAUGGGCAAGUGGAUCCACGCCCACUCCAUCUUGGCCAUCAGUUCGAACCCACAUAGAUCGACGAAUGAGAGAGUUUGUGGAGCAUCUCCCAUAGAUUGGUGAUGUGGACAAUGCCAAAGUGGUAUAUGAGGGGUCGGGCGGCACCCAAGUGGGUCCACCCCGGUGGGCUCAAGCAGUGGUCCUGCCAUGUCCACUUUCCUCCUAUGUGUGUAUUUAUCACCAUUCUAUCCAAAAUUUCUGCAUACAAAUGUACUUCCAUGUACAAGUGGAACUAGGUGAAUUAUAAAGCAAAUUCUACACAUGUGAUGAUGUUUUCCUCCAUAUUGGUGCUAUGUUGAUGGUCAAAAUAAGCAUUUAGUGACCAUCAACAAGCUGCCUACACUAAACCGUCGCUCGUCCUGACCAAAGCGGGAAAACAAAGAUUCAGGUGCAACAUGAAUGAAGCAAGAAUUAUAAAGGGGCUGUUUAAUUGGUGAAAAUUGUUGGUUUUAGUUACUGUAGCACUUUCGUUUGUAUUUGACAAUUAUUAUUCACUAGUACAGGGAAGGGGCGAAGGGCUUUAGCCCCGGGCCGUAAGGGCCUUUAGUCUCAGCUACGGAACCGGAGCUAAGGUUUCGGGACUAAAUGUCCCACCUUUAGUCCCGGUUCCACGGACCGGGACUAAACGUCCACCUUUAGUCUCGGUUGGUAACAGAAACUGGGACUAAAAGGUGCGCCCGGGUGUGCCACCUGGCCUCCACUUUUAGUUCCAGUUGUUGCUACCAACCGAGACUAAAGACUUUUUUCUUUUUUUCUUUUCUUUUCAUUUGGUUUUCCAUUUAGGGUUUACAAUUAUGUUAUUAUCAUUUUCGAAUGUGUAUUGUUUGCUGGUAGUUUAUGGAACGCGCACAUAUAAUUUAUAUAAUUUAAAGCAUUACAUAUAAAUAUACUAUAAAACACCAUAUAUAUAUAUAUAUAUAUAUAUAUAUAUAUAUAUAUAUAUAUAUAUAUAUAUAUAUAUAUAUAUAUAUAUAUAUAUAUAUAUAUAUAUAUUAUAUGUAUCUAUAGGUCCAUAAUAUAAUAUUUACACAUAUGCUUCACGGAUAACUUAUUUACAACACAAUUUAUCUCCGCCACUCAAGCAUCGUACAAAUGAUCAUCGUGAUUUGGUUUCAUCGGCUCCUCGGGGUUGAAGUAGAACUCGCUGCCGACAUUCAGGACUUGGUCAUUAAGAAAUCCUGCGAUUGUCACAGUGUGCAACAAUUUUUUUAGAAUUGGCCCCAAGUACUUGUCCUGUACCCUCAUCGAAUUCCGACAGAAUAUACCGACCCUCCAAUGGCUUCUUCAGGCCGCGCACUUUUCGCCGAUUUAGAGGGCUACACAAACAAUUAUAAAUAUAUUAAUACAAAUACCAUUUAUUUUAAUUUCAUAAAUAUACAUAUAUACUAGAUUAUAGAUAGACCUCAUCAGGAUUGUCUCCCACAAGUUCUUCAUAAUCAGCAAAGUACUGACUCCCAUCAUUUUCGUCUUGGGAUCUGGAUUGGCGCCGUUGUUGAUUAGGUCCAUCAUUGUAUCAUCCAUGUUGUCAUUCGGAUUGGCCAUUUCUGCAAAUUUAAUCAAGUGUUAAAAGUUAUUUGUCAAAUCCCGUACUUAAUAUGUCCAACUCAAAAGUAUUUGGAUAGGCUAAACUUAGACAAUAUUUGGAUACAAGAACUAAUUAUUAGUUAGCUAAAAAUUAGAUAAAAUUAGCUAUACUGCAUAGAGGGCUAAAUAUUUAUAUGUAUUAAAAUAUUUAUCCACACAUUUUGAGAUUUUUAUCAUAAAGAUAAAGAUAGCUUUUGAGUGGCUUUAAGAGAGUUUUUUUAUUUAGAUUAGGAUUUAUAUAUGAUAUAUCAGUUAGAUGCUUUUGAGUGGCUUUAAGCCACCAUGGCCAAGCCGUUCGGCCCGUCGCACCGCCCGUUCACCAUGCUACAUGUCGCGGGCCUCAUGGAGUGGCCAUGGGCGUCUGCUUAAAAUGACAUCACACAGCAAAAUGGAGUCAUCGUCACACGCCUCAAGGCUACACGUCGUGGUUUUGACAGUCGAGACUCGAGAGCUUUGACACCAAGACUCACCAUCCUUGCACGCAGGGCUGCCGUAGAUCCCUUAACCCAUAGGACCUACCGCGUAGCAAGGGACUAGGAUAUGGGACGUAUGCUUAUGUCCUGUUAUGCGUCACGAAAAGAAGUAGGGCCCGAUACCAUGUGUUAGUGUGCUCGAGUGCUCAUAGACACGUGAAAAUGCUCUAGUAAUUUAGAGCAAGUUGACCCCGAAUAAGGUAUUAUGAGAAAUAUAGUGUCUUUUAUUUUGUUCUAUGAAGAUAUAGAAAAGUCAACAAAUUCAACCGCAAUAGUCUUUGUCCACUAUGUGUGUAAGAAUUAUUUUUCUCUUGUUAUAACGAAUGGAUAUAUUUGCUAGUUAUUACUCAAUUGGCCUGAAAAAAACUUAGCUCUAGCUUCUGCCUUAAGUUAUAUAUAAGUCACUUAGACAAAUUUCAUUAAGCUAUGAGAGAAAACAUAUACAGCUUGAGAUUAUAUUAGAGUUUGUAUUUCCUAUUUUUAUUUUAUUAAGUCAUAAUCAUUAUGUCAAGUUGAUGCAAUAAUUAUGAAUCUAUUGUCGGUUUCUGCAAAAGCACACAACCUAAAAACAAAAAAAGCUUGACAGCCUAAUCUAUAUCUCUUAUAAAGCUAAUGCACACUACAAGUUCUAUCUUAACAUGUCGCCUUAUAUCUUUUAUAGAAAUGUAUUUGAUUUCUAAAAAAACGAAUUGCAUUAGGUUCAAAUAUAUCAAUUAAUGAAUAAUAUCUAUAAUGAAACUAUAAAUAAUAAUAAAAUAAUACAUAAGUAAAUAGAUAAAUUGAAGUAUUAGAUAAUUUACAACAACAAAUAUAUUAGGUUUAAUCUAAAUUAGAAAAUAUUUAAAUUAUUUAACCUUUAUGUAGCAUUAAUAAUAUUAAUAAUAAUAUUAAAGGGUAUUUUAUAUAUGCUAGUCAAUAGUUUUAAUGCACCAUUCAUAUAGAAAUUAAAUAAUUAGUCAUUAAUCAAAGAGAAUUUUUUAAAUAGAUGCAUUACAUCUUGUUCUUCGUGGACACAAAUAAUCGUUGGAUGUUUUAUAUUUUUGUCGAAUACAUAUCAAUUAGAUAGAGAAAAACACUAAAACACUUCGGUGCCGGAGAAGAUGGCGCGGCGCUCUGUACGGUGCUCGGCGGCCGGGGACGAGGGUCGGGGACGAGGGCGUCGAUGCUAGGGACGAGGGCCGGGGAUGAUGGUUGGCAGCGGCGGCGCUCCCUAGGCUCGCGGCGCUCCCGGGGACGAGCUGUCGGCAGUGGCGGCCAGGGACGAGGGCGCGAGGCGACGACAGGGAGGAGCGGCGCGAGGCAGAGGAAAUUAGGGCAACGACGACGGGGAGGAUCGAGGAGAAAGACGACUGUGCGCUUAAAUAUACGCGGGGACCUUUAGUCCCGGUGCGUAUCACCAACCGGGACUAAAAGGUGUUUAGUCUCGGUUAGUGAUACGCACCGGGACUAAAGGUAGUUUUGCUGUUUCUUAUUUAUUUAUGCUUACAUUAAUUAGAUUAAUUUUGUUAAUUGCAUAGUAAAUAGAAUAAUAGGUAUUAAUUUGUUAAAAAAGAGUUCCAUAUUUUUUGUCUAAUUGCUUACAUAAUAAAUUUGGAAACAUAAAAUCUUUCAAUCUCUUAUAACAUAAAAUCUUUCAAUCUCUUAUAUUAGCAAACUUAAAUAUGAAAAAUAAUUAGUAUUUUGUUAAUGCAAAAAUGUAUUAUUUAAUUUUAAUAUCUUAAAGUAGGUGUUUUUGAUAGAAAAUUUGUUUGUGUAUUAUUUAAACGUAAAUUUUGUUCAUUUAUCAUCAUUUAUCUCCAAAAUCGUGAUAUACGUGAUAUUCACCAUUACAUCGGAUUAUUUUUUAAAGAUUUCUUCUCUAUUUCUUAUUUAUUUAUGCUUACAACAAUAUUCACCAUUACAUGAGAUUAUCUCUACCAACUUUUUAUUCAAAUUUUUUUAUUUCAAGUCAUCAAAUGGGUCAUUUGACCAAGUUUGACCAAAGUCAAAGCAUUGGUUUUUAGAAACACACACUUUGACCGAACCCUAGAUGGUCCCAAAUAGAAAAGUAAUGAAUACAAUGUUUGUUACACUCAUCAAAUUCUACAUUUGGUCUAGUGGUCAAAUUUUUUUUUGGAAAAGUUUGAACCACUCAAUUUUGAAUUUUGAAAGAAUUCAUAGCCACGCAUCGGUUUUCGGAACCAAUAUUGUUCCACUUAUCAAAAUCUACAUUUGAUAUAUAGACUAUUUUUACAUUUGACAAAGUGUUGGGAAGGUGUAGUUGAAAAUCCACAAUUGACACAUAUAGUUUCAUAUAGUUUGUGUGAGAUUCAAGAUUUGGUGGGUAUUGUGAACUUAAACUUUCUCAAAUGGAAAAAUUGUCUAUAUAAAAAGUUUAGAUUUGAUGAUAUCUAACAACUUGGUAUUCAAUUUUUUUUCAUUUUAAGUAAUUUAGUUUGUCAUUUGAUCAAGUUUGACCAAGUUUGACUAUUUUUGCAUUUGACAAAGUGUUAGGAAGGUGUAGUUGAAAAUCUAUAAUUGACACAUCUCUUAUAAUAGUAAACUUAAAUGUCAUUUCCCACAAGUCAUUUCAUUAUUUGAAAUGAUAUAAAAUAAGAAAAACUAAUAUAAACAUCUUAAGUUACAAUUGUCACAUACACAUACUCUAAUGCAAUCUAUUUAUUAGGCGGGCACAAUAGUGAUCUUCUUUUUGACGUAUGUUCCUUAGUCAUGAUCUUGACGUAACCAUGGAGUGUCCUCAGCAUUUAUCAGUAUGCUCGGAUCUUUGGUCACAUGGAAAGGCGUGAUUCGGUCAUCCCUUUCAUAAUCUUCUGAAAUAUCUGACUUGUCCUCAAUUCCCACAAUGUUUCUUUUCCCUGAGAGAACUAUAUGGCGUUUUGGCUCAUUUGUUGAUUUCUUGUCAUUUUUCCCUCUCUUGUGUUUUGUAGACAUGUCUUUCACAUAGAACACCUGAUUCACAUCAGCAGCAAGGACGAAUGGUUCAUCUUUGUAACCAACAUUGUUGAGGUCCACUGUUGUCAUUCCAUAGUCUUUGUCAACUGUCACCCCACCUCCAGUAACCUUCACCCAUUGGCACCAGAACAAAAAGACUUUAAAAUUAGGUGCAUAGUCUAGUUUCCAAAUCUCCUCUAUACAGCCAUAAUAUGUUUGUCUGUUUCUAAUCGGGUCUAUGGCGUCUACGCGAACCCCACUAUUUUGGUUCGUGCUUCUUUUAUCUUGGCCUAGGGUGUAAAAUGUAUUUCCAUUUAUCUCGUACCCUUUGUACGUGAGGAUGUGCCAUGAUGGUUGUCUAGCCAACAAAUAUAGUUGCUCAUCAAUAUGGUCAUUACCCUGACAUUCUUUUCGUAACCUGUCUGAUAGUUUAUUGAUCCCUAGCCCAACCUUCUUCACAUGACCCACAUAGCCGAAAAUCUUCAUAUGAUCAACUCUAGGCUUCUUGCCAUACCAAGCCUCAUAUGGUGUAACACCAUUUAAGCUUUUUGUUGGAGAUCUAUUCAACACAUAGACAGCUGUUACAACAGCCUCUCCCCAAUAGCAUGCUGGAAUCUGCUUGCUUUUCAUCAUACACCGAGCCAUCUCCACUACAGUCUGAUUCCUUCUCUCUACCACCCCAUUUUGUUGAGGAGUAUAAGGUGUAGUGGUAAAAUGUCUGAUGCCAUACUCAUUGCAAAAAACACUGAACUGAGUUGAGUUGAACUCACCACCUCUGUCAGUUCUGAUUGCUUUGAGCUUACUAUCAAGUUCAGUUUCUGCUCUUGUCUUCACCUUCUUCAAAUAAGAUAGUGCUUCAUCUUUGGACUUUAAUAAUUCAAUCCACAUAUACCUGCUGUGAUCAUCAACAACUAGCAAGAAAUAGUGCUUGCCACCUGGUGUUGGUGGUGUGAUUUUUCCACAGAGAUCUGUGUGAAAUAAUUCAAGUCCAUUCAGAGCUCGGUACUUACUGACACUUGGAAAGGGGGCUCGAUGUUGUUUUCCCAAAGUACAGCCAUCACACACCUGCUCCACCCUGUUAACAGUGGGCAUACCAGACACCAUAUUCCUUCUUCCAAGCUCCCGGAGAGAUCUGAAAUUAAGAUGCCCAAACCGUGCAUGCCACUUCCAAGCAUCAUCUUCUAAUUUAUUCACAAGACAGACAGGUGACACAGUACUGAACUUGUGCACAUAAAGACAAUUUGCAGUUCUACUAGCCGAGAUAAGUAAUGCAUGUCCUCCUUGAUCAAAGACACUGCAUCUGCCAUCCUUUAACGACACCUCAAACCCCUUCUCCUCCAGUUGGCCCAAACUAACAAUAUUAUUCUGAAGCUUUGGAAUGUAAUAGAUGUCAGUUAAUACCUUGUGUUCCUGCUGUCGUCCUUGAAUUACCAUGGAGCCAAGCCCAUGUAUUUCCAUGCUUGAUCCAUCACCGAGUUUCACAGUACCACGAACUCGAUCAUUUAGAUGGGUGAGAGCAUCACGACACCCUGUCAUAUGGUUGCUAGCACCUGUAUCUAGCACCCAAACACCUUCUGGGCAAUCAACCGGCACCACCUUCUUCUCAGUGAGAUGAAUCACCUCUACAGGUAAUUCUGUGAUGUCUUUUGCCACCAAGAGGAAUAGUGCUGGAUUAUGAUUAGCACCUGCCACGGCGACAUUUGCCUCCUCGUGCUUGUCUUCUUUCUUCAACUUCUUAGGCCUUUUACCGUCCUCAGCCCAAUGGCCAUAUAUGCCACAAUUUCUGCAUCUUCCCUUCCUCCGAGGUGUACCUUCUGAGGUGAGCUUCACGCUGCCAGCUGCUUUGGAUCCACCACCAUCAUGACGAUGCGGUUGUUUGCCUUUGCCUCCACCAGCACUGCUACUUCCUCCAGGACGACCUUGAGUGGAUUGGAAACGGUGCUUGUGUUUCUCAAGCCACUCAUCUUCGACAAGUAAUAGACGGCCUGCCUUAUCAGUGAUUUGAUCAACCUUCUCCUCGAACCGAUCUUCAGCAACGCGUAGUCUCCCAACCAUUUCCUCCACUGUGAGAGUUUUCAUGUCACAGAACAUCUCAAUGGAUACUGCAACUUGAUUGAAUCUGGGUGGCAGUACGCGCAAAAUUUUCUUGACAACACGAGGAUCAUCAAUUUUCUCACCAAGGGUUUUCAACGUGACAACGAGGUUCACGAUUCGCAUGCCGAAGUCCUCCACGCUUUCUCCUUCUUUGAACUCGACGUUCUCGAAUUCUUUUAGGAGUUUCUGGACACUGAUCUCCUUCACACGAUCUGCUCCAACCCUCAACGUUUUCACCACAUUCUAGGCCUCUUGCACCGUCUUCUUCGCGCUAAGAGUCGCCCGCAUCUCUUCAGGAACGGAUCUCAUCAAUCCGCUCAUGGCUUGCCGAUCCUCGGCCCUCUUCACAUUGGUUCCGGGAUCAAUCGUCUCCCAGAUCUCCAGCGCCUCAUAGUUGAUUUGCAUCAACAUAGCCCACUCGACAUAAUUCGUACGAGUUAACAUCGGCCAAACCAACGAGCUCUCCUUGACGCCGCUUGACUUCGAACUCUCGCCUUUCGUCAUCUCCUCCUUCUCGACUUCACCUCACAUGACCGUGACGUGGUCUGGAACCUCUACAGCUUUGAUACCAAUUGAUGGAACCGAGCUCACAGGAUCGAGCUCAGCGACGGCGCGACGCCGGCAGAUGGCGUUCGCGGCAACUAAAAACUAGAGCGUGAACCGAGAAGAUGGAAAUAAUGACAACGAGAUCAAUUUGCCCAAACACGGCGUAACCUUGCCUUACGCUUUCGUUCAGUUUAUAUAGGCCCACGGCCUUGUCCCCCGUCGCUACGACGCCUUCUCUGAUCGCCCGUUAUUUCCGGAACGCCAGAGAGACAUGCACAGACGACGUCGCGACGGGGCUGGACUCUAAUACACGGUCCCGGCGAGGUUCACGCACAUCUCUGAACCUCCCAGAAUUCUAAAUAUAGCAAAAAUCUAAAACAGGAUUACAUGAAGUAAACUAAGACACUUCUAACAUACCCCCAUAAAAUGAGUAAGCAGCUAAGUAAUUUAGCUCAUAUAGCCCAUGAAAUUUCCACCAGGCGCCGCUGAAUGUGGGAAGUGUUGAGUAGCUGGUGUGCUACUAGUGCUGCUGUUAAUUUGUUGGAAGUUGUUAUGUUUAAUUUCCUAGAAGUUGUGAUAUUUAACUUGCUGAAAGUUGUUAUAUUUCUGUUAAACCUGGGUAUAGGAUAUCCGUCGAGUAAGAAUUACACAUCGGGUACGGGUAUAGAAUGAAUUCCUUACCCGUCUGCUUUCGCAGUAACCCGAUGGAAUAGGUUUUGACCUGGCGGGUGCGGGUAUGGUUGGCUAGUACCCAUCGGAUACGUACUCGUUGCCAUUUUGAAUCACUAUCGUUACCCUAUGUACUUGGAGAUUUUAUAACUUAUGCAAUUUUAAACAUAGCUUAUAUUCUUCUCAAAUGAUACUCUCAAAUCACUCAAUGGUGUAUGUAUCCUCACCAAGGCAUUAUUGUUUUGCCUUACAUCCUACUCUCAAGUUUACUUUGGCGAGCCCAAAUUUUGGCCACUAAUGAAAUGGAUACUUUUUCUUUUUGCUGUUGGACAAAAUUUAGCUCGCCUUUUUAAGCUAAAAAACUAAGAUGUACCCGAAAAUCUAAAACUUUACAAGAUUCUCCAUCACAUCAAAUCUUUCGACACAUGUAUGAAAUAUUAAAUAUAAAUAAAAAAGAUAACUAAUUACACAGUUACCUAUAAAUCAUGAUACAAAUCUUUUAAGUCUAGUUAUUCUAUGAUUAGACAAUGUUUGUCAAAUAAAAACAAAAUUGCUACGGUGAAAAUUCAAAAAAAAUUUGGAUCUAAACAAAACCUAAACACACACACUAGUACAGUGUUUGCUUCGGGACGGUCGAUUGGGUGCCGGGUUUCGCCAUGGACAUGGAGGAUGGGAGCGGCAGCUCGUCGUCUCCAGCCAUCCUACGGAACAAGUACUGGAUCCUCCGCCACGGCCGCAGCGUCCCCAACGAGCGCGGCCUCAUCGUCUCAUCUCUGGUACUAAUCUCUCCCUCCGUCCCAGCAGGCCUCUUUCGAUUUCCUUCGAUUUCCCGCACCAAGCAUCACCUACCCCAAUCCAAGGCUCUCCAACUGAUGCCAUCUUGGUCUGCUGCCGGCAGGAGAACGGCACGAAGCCGGAGUUCGGGUUGGCCCCGCAGGGUGUCGAGCAGGCCCGCGCGGCCGGCGAACAGUUCCGGAAGGUACAGGAUUGGUGUCUCACUGCUGUGGAUUCUUGGAUUGGAUGCGCGGUAGUGAAUCUGGCCUGUGCAGGAGCUUGAGGAGAUUGGUGUGCCGGUGGAUUCUGUCAAGAUUCGUUACUCACCGUUCACACGGACCACCGAGACGGCUAGAGUGGUCGCCGGUGUGCUUGGCAUCCCCUUUGAGGGUCCUAGCUGCGAAGUGAGUUUGGUUUAAUUCUGUGUCCUUGAGGGUCCUAGCACUUAGAUUUUUGUCUUGAGUUGGAAUUUUGUGUAUGGAUGGUUGGUGAUAUAGACUUUAGAUUCAUUGGGCACUUCGGCAGUAUGAUUAUGGUAAUUUGGAGGAUCAAGGCUUGCUACCUUUUAUUUCUGUGAGAUAUUAUUGGAGCAAACAUGGAAUUUGUCUUUCUGUUUACUUUUUCUCUUUAUUGUCAUUUGCAGAACUAGGUUGCAAUGUUAGAGCAUCUCCAAAGGCUUUGGCAAAUUGACUUGGCAUUUGUUGCUAUUUGCAAACUCCCAUAACAAAAUGCAAAGGAUAAAAAUAGGUCAUCUCCAAGGAAAUUGGCAUUUGGACUUGACAAUCAAUAAAAAUAGAAGGUCUCUAGGCGCGCGCGCUUUGCUCGCGCGAUCGGGUUUGCAAAGUCGUCCACGGCUUGGCAUUUUUGCUAAGUUUGCUCCCUCAUUUGCCAAGUUGCCCAAAUUGCAAACUCCAAAUGCAAAACCGUUGGAUACCUCUUUUGGAGCUUUUUGGCAAAUUACUCAAAUGCAAACCUCAAAUGCAAAACCCUUAGAGAUGCUCUUACUGUGCCUGCAAAAACAAUCAAGACAUGAAAACUGAUUGGUGCACAUGAAAACAUCAAAGUAUUCAAAUGUUGUACCCAUGGUUUAACUUUUUGGUGUUUUGAGUUAUGAUUUCUAAGGCAUCCUAAAUCAUUACUGGGGUAAUAUCGGAAUGCAUCUAAUUUGCUUCAGUGUUAUAAGGUCAUAGGGAUGAAUGCUUGAUCAGUACUCUUCUACAUUUCUAGUGCUGCCAUUCAAUGUCAAGAUAUUGCAGCCAAAGGUUCUCAAAUCAGAUAUUCCUCAUAAUUUUUAUGGUCUGGUAGGCUCAUAAAAGGUCUUUUGCAGGCGGUGCUGGGACUCCGUGAGCGCUACUUUGGGCCAUCAUAUGAGUUACUUUCACAUGAUAAGGUGGGUUUCCAUUUUUGAAUUCAAGUUAUAUUGUUUCAGUAUAAAUGAAGAAGCAUUCUUCUCAUAUGGGCUAAUGGGCAUGUACUUGGGUAUGUGAUACAAGUUCAAUUCUAUAACAUGAAUUGGUUGGUGAAAUCUAAGUGAUGCAUUAUCAUCUAUAAUCUAAGAAAUCUUAGUCCUCCUAGCAACCUCCGCUUUGCCAGACACAUAAAAACGUCUUUAUGGAUCUCCAUCAUCCUUGUACUCAUCCUUUCAACUUUGUCAGUCGCUGAUACAGAAGAAUGUUAUAUUUGAACCCACAGUUUGUCCAGCUGUUUCUGCAUCCGAACUACCUUUGCCCCUGAAGAGAUAGUUUUGAUGCAGAAACAGCUGGACAAACUGUGGGUCUGGUGGAGACCAACACAAGGUGGAGACACUGCUCAUAGGGUGUGCAACCACCCCUGUGUUGUGCUCGGCCAGGGCAGCUGGUGCCCUGUCCUUCAUCUCUACUGCCUCUUGGUCAGGUGGACCAACCUGGGCUGCACCACCCUGGCCCAUUCGCAUGACACGUAUUGUGUAGGAAGUCAGAUAGUUUUUUUUUCAGAUUUUCAGAUAAGUUUUUUCACUCUGAUCUGGAAAUUUUUUUUUUGUCCCACACCAACAACACAGAUCAACUGAUUCAGCCUGGGCAUUCGGUUUAAACCAACAAAUCGGUUCGGUUUGUUCGGUGCCUGCAAAUUUCGGUUUUCAGAAAUCAACCACCGAUCGGCUUCCUAAAUAACUCAAAACCGAAGAAUUCGGGUGUCGGUUUGUCGGUUCGGUUAUUCGGUUUCAACCGAACAAGCCGAAGCUACCACAGACAAGGAAAAAUCGAGAGAAGAACGAAUUGCGCCAAAUCAAGAACAAAAUUGCGCUACUGCAGCGCGGCUGGCGACUCGCCGGAGCACCCUGCUCACCUCCACCGCGCCCGCCCUCUCCUCGUGAGGUCGGGGACGCGAACCGCUGCCGCCGCCGCUCACCGACGUCGCAGCGCCCGGUCCCUGCUCGCUGCACGCGUGGUGGGGGCGCGCGGGGCCACCGCUGCUCGUGGCUCGCCGGCGCUCCCUGCUCGCCGCAGCUCAUCCUCCCUCUGCUUGGCGGCGCUCCUGCUCGCGCUAGGGUUGGACGAGGAAAUCGCGACUCACGGUCACGGACGAGUUGGGAUGUGUUCGAUGCAGGAAAGGGACGGGAGGUGCGUGCGUGAGUUGAGGCCAUGUGGGCCUGCGACUUGAUUUUGCUUAUUUGCUACGUGGGCCAAAUACGUUGGUGAGAUGGGCCAUGUGGUAACGUGUGUGGCUCGGCAACAACAACAUCUCUGUGUAAUGAAGAUCGGUUCCUUCGGUUAUUCGGUUUCUGGGGACUCGAAACCGACGAUACAGCCGAACACCGAAGUUCGUAAAAUCAGAAACCGAACCCGAAACCUAAAACCGAAAAAACCGAUAUUUCGGUUCGGUUCGGUUCGGUUUACGGUUUUCGGUUAAAAAGUGCCCAGGGUGACAACUGAUGGUUUUAUUAUGAUUUAACAGGUGUAGUGUGAGUCCAAGUUCAACCACAGUUCUCGCUCAUCAUAGCAAUUGAUAGUGUAGUUGUAAACUUUUUGCGCCACUUUCGAAAAAAAAAUUGUGCCACUAUAAAUUUAUUUUUUAUGUUUCUUUCGGUUACUAAAACUGACAUUAUUAAGUAGUAUGCAGACAUAUGGUCAGUAGAUGAAGCGCAUCCCUAUUCGGCUCCUGAAGGUGGUGAGAGUGUUGCAGAUGUUGCUAGUAGAUUUUCAGCUGUGUUGUCAUCUAUGGAGACAGAGUUUAAUGGGUAUAUAUUCAUAUGUAUUGACAGAUUCAAUUCUUUUAUUUUGUUUUCUCGUUCUACUAUGACAUUUCUUUUUUAUGAAACUACUACCAAAAUGAUAUAAUUUGCUAAUAGCUUGUGUAUGCUAAGUAUAUAUAUAAAGGCAAUGGACCACAACAUGUAAGUUUGUAGGGUUUCCCUGUCUAGUUAUCAAUCUACCAGGAUUCUGGAGUGUCAACAUUCUAACAAUGUCUGUUCAUUUAGAAGAUAUUUAAGAUUCAUAGAUUUUACUAUUGCAAUGGCUACCAACUGGUCACAUAGUUCGCGCUGACUUGUUAAGUCAUGCUUGGAUCUGUCUUGCUGAAGCUUACUUGUGUGUUUUGUUCCUUGCAGCUCUGCAAUUCUUAUUGUCAGCCAUGGUGAUCCACUACAAAUCUUUCAAGCUGUCCUCAGUGGAGCCAAGGAGAACUUGUCUUUCCUCGACAAUCUGACCAACCUGAAAGCGAAAGACACGGUGGUGGCAUCCAUUCUGUCACCGCACCGUAAGUUUGCGCUCAACACAGGAGAGCUGCGCCAAGUUGUGUAACUUGCUGCUGCUUGGAUUUCACGUUGCUAGUCAAUUGAUGAUAUGUAAACCUGCAAUUUUUGCCUAGCACAUUCCUCUGUAACUUGACAGGGAUCUAAAAUAAUUGGUCUACUAGAAUGUCAUAUCUGUUUAAAUAUCUAAUAGACGCACAUUCAUUCAUAUUGAGCAAGCUCUUUCUAUCUUCAAAGAAUGUCAGAUCUUGAAAUUCGUCUACUAGAAAGGCUAUAACUCCAGAAAUCUGAUUUUGGUGAAGCAGCCUAAAUAUUUGGUUGGUCGUUGAAUGUUAUUCAGAUCGAGCAUUGUAUGAUUGAAACCCAGCUGUCUUUUAUUUUGUUCUUUUUGAAUAGUUUUGCUAAUUUCUCUUCGUAUGAUUUGAGUUUCAUUUCAUAUUCUACUUCCAAGUCAGAGCUCAGACUUUAUCCGGCAGGCCGAUUGUUUUGCAUUCAUUCCCAAGUCUACCGGUGUGUACUAAUCAUGAUGCUGUGCCUUGAUCCUACGCAAGCGAGAGGAAAAAAAUGAGGCUAGAGUGGAUGUUUCAGUUCCUAUGGAAUGCGUUCAAAAUCGGUAGCAAAGGAAAAAUUCCUCUACCUCUCCUACAGUAUCUAUUCCUAUGGAUUGUUGAUUUAUGAGUUUUUCCUUUGGAAAUCCUCCCUUCCAGAUACAUUGUGGCGAGUUUAGCUAUAAUUAAUUGGGAGAAGGCUUCGUGAGCAUGAGCGUAAUGGCAACCAAUACACUGGAAAAUUGUCUCGUCACCAGAAUUUAGCCUUCUCUUGAUUUGAUUUUUUUUCUUACCACUUCUAGGUUUCCAUGUUGUACUUGAUUUUUGUAUGGUCUUGACCUUUCCUAGAUUAGUAUAUAGUAUAGGUAGUUGAUAUGGUUCGCUCUAGAUCAGAGAACACUUCGUAGGUUAGGUGUAGAUGGAGGUAGUUGAUAUGGUUCGCUCUAGAUCAGAGAAUACUUCGUAGGUUAGGUGUAGAUGGAGCUCACUAUAGAAAACCAAAGGUGUUCAGCAUGCUAGUUAGUUUAUUAUGGCUCUUCUAGUGUAGAUUAAGUUGAGAGCCCAUCUGUUUUUGGAGCAACUCUAGUAAGAGCGCUUAAAUCAUGGUAUACUUUUGAUUUAAGGGCUUAACUUUUUUUUUACCAUAUACCCCAGUAGCUCUCAAAUCCAAUCCAGCAGAGACUAACAAACGAGAUUAAUUCAUCAUUCUCAUCGCUCCAAACAAUUGAGCUAUGAACGACGAAAAGAGGAGCUUCACAAUCGCCUUGAGCACGUCUUCCUAAGCCCGGUGAGAAUUUUGUUGGGACUCAUUAUAUUGAAAUGGAUAGGCGUCGACUGUUGGGAAGAGGAGCGCCGAUCUUGCCGAGUGUUGGAAGGACCAUAGAUCUUGAGGGCAUUAGGUGCGAUGAGGAGCUACCAGAGGAGUCAUGGUCGCUGUUGGAUCUUGCUAGCUAUCAGGAUGAGGCGCUAGCGACUCCACUGCGGAGUAGGGGCCUGGGUGGAGAGUCCACAAUAAUGAAGACGGGAGAGGUUGAGAUUUUAGGGCCUUCCAAACUUAUAAGAGCUGCUUGAGCUGUAUUUGUGAUAAAAACAUCUAAAUUUAAGUUGGAGGACCUAGAUAGAGUCCCUAAUGGGAUUGCUCCUACACGUGAUUUGGGGACCGUGAUGCAAAGAGAUUUGUAUCUAUGAGGUAUUUGGAGCAAGACUGAAUCGUAGGGACCAUGAGUCACAACUUUAUCGAAGCGCAGCCCAUCUAAGUUUAGUUCCAAAAUAUUUUAAGAUUCCUCAUCACAUCGAAUCUUGAACAUAUGCAUGGAGUAUUAAAUAUAGAUAAAAAAUAAUUAAAUAUAGAUAAAAAAUAAUUAAUUGUACAGUUUACCUGUAAUUUGCGAGAUGAAACUUUUAAGGCUAAUUAGUCCAUGGUUGGACAAUAAGUACCAAAUACAAAUGAAUGUGCUAUAGUAGCCCAAUCUAAAAAAUUCCGCAAACUAAACAAGAUCUAAAAACUUUUUAGAUUUGAACACUGUAGAAUUUUCAUUUGUAUUUGAUAAUUAUUGUCCAACGAUGGACUAACCAGGCUUAAAAUAUUCGUCUUGCGAAUUACAAGCAAACUAUGUAAUUAAUUAUCUUUUUUUAUCUAUAUUUAAUGUUUUAUGCAUGUGGACUCAAGAUUUGAUGUAAUAAUAAAUUUUUGAAAAGUUUUUAGAUUUUAGGUGGAACUAAACAACGCUUAAGUGGUUGGAGUGAGAGAAUCAGUGUACAUGGACCACAAUUGUUGAAAAGUUGAAAUCAGGCUAUAUGACGGUACCGGAACUGACUUAGGCCUCGUUCGGCAGCACGGUAUUGGUGCCAGACCAAUAUCCGAUCCAGGUCAGGAUAGAGUGGAUCCGGGCCAGUCACUGGAACCACCUGUGUGGAUUGAAUCCACUCUUUUUCUUAAUCCAUCUCUUCAAAAAGUGCAUUCGGUUUGACCUGGAAUUAAGCCAGGGAUUGCAUGGCGUGAUUACCAGUUUACCAGCUCAAAGGUGCACACAAGUGCACGGUCACUCAUUUUUUCAAAAAAUAUGCACGAUCACUCAGACCCAAAGUGCUAAUAGCAUGUUUAAACAUGAAAAUGGUUCCUAGAUCCAAACAUAAAUUACAAAAAUACCCAAAGGUAACAACAACUAGAUCAAAACUUUGUUGGAUAAAAAAAUCAGGAAACCACACGUUCUAGUCUCCCAUUACAAUUUUAGUGUUUUAAUACUCAUUCUUCAUGAUUGUAUGAAGCAAAACAGCAAGCUUCCAGUGAUAUCUUUCAAGAACUGUCGAAAUCAUGUGUUUGUUGCCUGCAGAAACCAAAUGUCUUAAUUAACCUCAACUCACCAAAGAAAACUUUUGGAAUAAGCGAAUCUCAAAAAUCAUCACAACAGUACAUCAAGCUAAAAAAGUUCAUACAAAACCCACACCGCUAUACACUCCUAUGGACCAUUAUUAGGAUGCUAGAAUAAUAGACAAUAGCUCAAAAAUAGAUAAAAAAUAACAAUACAUCUAGCUGAUUGAAAAAUAGCAGCACCCAACAUUAUUACUAACAACCAUGCAUGGCAAGCACUGGCUGAAUCCUCAAAUUCCUAAAACAGAGAUAUUCCAAAUGAAACCCAAUACAAAGGAGCAGAUCAAGAAGAACUGCUGAACUGUCGAUGGCCCAUAAUUUUCAUGCACCACAAGUAAGCAGAUGUCCAGCCUUAAGCAACAAACUUAACAUCUGCUUGACCAUGUCAUAUAGAAGCUAAAUAUUGUAGAGUACCUUCUGGAGUUGGUACCAGAUCCCACGAAGGCAGAGGUUCACCUUCCCCAACUCUAAAUGGUGGUGGAGAGAUCUACAAAAUGGCAACAUGUUAAACUACAAGUAGCCUACAAAAGAUCAGUCUGUACAGAUCAAGAAAAAAGGAGCAAAACAUCAGUCUUCAAUAGGAUGGAAAAAACAACAAAAAGUGCUAAUAGAAAGAACAAGAAAGAUUUUUUGUUCUUGUGCUCCAUAUGCUACUGAUGCUGAUGUAACAAUCGCACACAUCUAGAAGUUAAACUAUUAUGCUUUGUUGACAUGGGCCACCUUAGAACCUAAGCUAGACUAGAGUAAGCUAAACUGGAGUAACACUUUUGUCAAUCCAUAUAUUUGUCUUCUGUCAUGAGGAUUAAACAUAGCUACAAACCGGAAGCAUAAGCCUUACAGGUACUCGGGUAGCAGAUCACUACUAGUAAUAGGUUUCCACAAGCUUCCACUUUCCAGGUAGUUCCAGAUAACAAUUAGUGAUAUACAGGAAAAUUAGACCAUGACCAACUGUCUAAUACAAUAUACAGGAAAACUAAUUACAUUGGUAAGCUCUGUAUAUACAUUUGAGAUACAAAUUUGCAAGCUUAAGAAAGCAUCACUAUGCAUCUACGAAAAUAUCAGUUCAUGGAAAUAUCCAAUAUUCAAAGUUCAAACCACAACGCAUAAAUUAAUAAAAAUGAGUUUAGCAGUAAGCUAUGGUGCCCAUUCUAAUGGACAGAUUUACACUCUGAACAUAUGCCACUGCACUACUGUACGAGAACCAGUGAGAACUGCAGCCACAAGGAGUGGGAUCAUGCCUUGGGUCAGCAGCCUCUAAUAAGACUAAAGACCUUAUUAGAGCAUUAAUAAAUUGGCAUUAGAAGGUAGUCAUGCUGACCACACAGAGCUCACUACUGACGCGCAUGAUGGUUGCAUGCCUUCAUAGUUGUAUCUGGCAUCUCAACUACUGAUAGAGGUGUAUAGAUGCAUAGAAAUAUUAAGAACACUUAACGUAAACUCAAUCUGGAUAUGUAAAAUAAAUGACUGUCUACUAGCUUGUACAUAGCUUGUCAUUCUAAAGUUAGAUUAUUGAAGAAAUUGCUCUGGUUGGGGUUGUCAAUUUGAAAAUGAAAUAGUAGUUUCUCUGAAUCACUAAAAACAUUGGACUAAAAACUUAAUAUUACUACUCAAUUUGCUCUUCUAUUCUCCUUAGUCAAUAGAAGUAUUAAUAAUGCAGUCAAAUCUUGUCCAGGAUUGGCGCCGCUCCCUUUCGGCCUACGUCAGAGAGGCUGUGGUAGGGCGCGCGUGGGUGCGCCAUAUCUCCGGGGCGCUGACAAUGCAUGUUCUUGUGGAGUACGUGCUUCUCUGGGAGCGGCUGGAGACGGUGGUGCUGCAGCCAGGCGUUCCGGACCGAUUUGUGUGGCGGUGGUCGCCUGACGCUGUCUACUCCUCGUCCUCGGCGUACAAGGCCUUCUUCCAUGGCCUCACGCUCCUGCCUGGUGCGCGUCAGCUGUGGAGGGCUUCGGUUCCGCCUAAGGUCAAGUUCUUCGUGUGGUUGGCCUUGCGUGGUCGACUCUGGACCAGUGAUCGGCGUCGCAGGCACGAUCUGCAGGACGAUGCUUCCUGUGCUCUUUGUGACCAAGAGGACGAAACCACCGACCACUUGCUGCUCGGCUGUGUGUUCGCAAGGGAGGUCUGGCAUCGUUUGCUUCGCAAGUUCCGUCUACCUCUGCAGCCGCCUGCCGCGCCCUCGACCCUCGUUGACUGGUGGCUGUCCUCGCGUGGCUUGCUGCCACGUGCGCUGCGCCGGGGUUUUGACUCUGUUGUUCUUCUAGUCGCUUGGUCCGUCUGGAAAGAGCGGAACCGGAGGACCUUCGAAGGCCUACACUCCAGCGCCCUUGAGGUGGUACGUUCUAUCGUCGAGGAGGGGCAGCUGUGGGUGUCGGCAGGAUUCAGGGCCUUGGAGGUCAUCGUCGCGCUUUUCCUCAGCGAGUAGUCCGUGUUGGUGGUGCGUCGUGGGUGUCCCCCACGCCUGUCUUCCGUCUCCUUUUCGCUUCUGGCACCUCGCCGGGUGGUGUUGUUUUGGUUUUUUUUUUUCUUUCGCUGUACUGCUGUGUACUUUUAUCAUUCUUAAUGAAAUACACGUGAAGUCGUGUUCUAGAAAAAAAAAAAUCUUGUCCAGGAUACUCACCAAAAAUUUAUUAGAAGCUUUUGUUCUAAGCCAGUCCAAAACAAACGCACAUUCUAGCUUCUAUGGAAUGAAAACGGGUCGCACCACUCGGAAUGGCCCGGGAACGGGCUAAUCCGGUAGAAACAAACGAGGCCUUAGGCCACGAGUAGACGUGCCCGGUUGGCGUUUUCAUAAUGUGGGGACUGUGUAGCGUGCUUGUAAUGCAUGUGCGCAUCGUCUGUGCAGCGCGUGUCCUCUCGCUUGUGCGGGCUGCACGCGGCAUGCCAACAAAGAAAUUAAAAAAGAAACAACGAGAAGAUCUAACACAACACACGCAUGACGCAUACAGGUACACUGGUACAUUGCCUUCUAGAUAGAGCGAAGAUAUUUCUCGAUCGCUCAAGUAGCACAAGACACUUUGACACUCCUCUUCGGCUCUGGGCAAAGAAGAAGAGUUGUUUAGAUAGUGUCAAACGCAACCUGAACGCGCAUGCAUCGCAUUGCAUGAUUGCAUCAUGGUACACAGUACACAGUACACUAGCUAGCUACACUCCAGACAUCGCUUGUGAUUGUGAGAGGAGGCGUCGUCAUCAUCAUCAUGGAGACGAAUUCGAAGCGGGUGGCCAUCGUGGGCGCCGGCGUGAGCGGCCUGGCGGCGUGCAAGCACCUGCUGGAGCGCGGCUUCAACAGCCCGGUGCCGGUCGUCUUCGAGUCCGGCGCCGUCGUGGGCGGCGUGUGGGCGCGCGUGCCGGACAGCACGGCGCUGCAGACGCCGCGGCCGAUGUACCAGUACUCCGACUUCCCCUGGCCGGACACCGUCACCGACGUGUUCCCCGGCCACCGCCAGGUCAUGGCCUACCUGGACGCCUACGCGCGCCGCUUCGGCGUCAUGGACUGCGUCCGCUUCCGCCGCCGCGUGCUCGGGAUGGAGUACCACGGCGUCGACGAGGACGACGUGGCCAAGUGGGAGGAGUGGAGCGGCAACGGCGAGGCGUUCGGGUCCGGCGCCGGCGAGUGGCACCUCAAGGUGGCCGACGCCGAGGGGCGCGUUGAGGUACAGCAUGUUAUUAUGCGUACUACUUUCUUGUUAUUAUAUCCAUUAAUUAAUACUCAGCUCCAUCUUUAUAAAAUAAAUUUCUAGAUUUUUGUCGGGUCAUUUUUUUAGAAAUUUUAUUACUAUAGAAAUAUGAUAGUAUAGUACCUUAGCUUCCAGGGAAAAUAUCUCCCUUCAAAAAGUUUGUGUCCACGCACAUCAUAUCCGAGUCCUAGCCACAUCACAUUUCUGGAACCAAACAGUGCUGCUACACGACGGCGGGCCAACAAACUUUUAAGGCCUUAUUUAGUUUACCAAAAAAACAAAAACUUUUUAAAAUUUUUGGUCACAUUGAAUCUUGCGGCACAUGUAUAGAGCAUUAAAUAUAGAUAAAAACACAAACUAAUUAUACAGUUUGCCUGUAAAUCGCGAGAUGAAUCUUUUAAAUCUAGUUACUCUUUAUAAUUAGAUAAUAUUUAUCAAAUAAAAGGGAAAGUGCUAUAGUACCUCAAUCCUAAAAAUUUUGGGAACUAAACAAGUAACGUCACUACUGCAGCUACACCAGGAAGGAUUGUAACUCUAAAGACGAACCUGCUAUCUUGCCUUUGCCAUUGCUCAUCGUCACCAUCCUUUAAUUUGUCAAAUCAACGAAAAAAUGACACGUGCAAUAGUCCAGAAACGCGGCAGCCCUAUGCUCGAUGAUGCACUGACGGGAGACUGGUAGAACUGGAAGCAUUGACCUAUCUCCCAAAUAUUAUUUUCACUUUUCAAAAAGUUAAAUCUUUUUAAACUUUGACCAGUUAUAUAUUAGAAAAUAUUAAUAUUUAUAAUACAUAAUUAAUAUCACUAGAUAGAUAAUACUCAAUCCAUCCUAAAUUAUAAAUUAUUUGACUUUUUGACAUCAAAUUUAACCAUUCGUCUUAUUCAAAAAUUUGUGCAAAAUAUCACUUCUAUUGCCGUGGUUUGGUUUAUUAAUAAAAGUUCUACAAGAAUGACUUAAAUUUAACUAUGUUUGUAUAAUUUUUUUUGAAUAAGACGAGUGGUCAAACUUGAAAUUUAAAAAGUCAAACAACUUAUAAUUUAGGAUGGAGGGAGUAUUUUUUUAUAAUAAAUUUAUUUGGAGAUAUAAAUGUUGCACAUAUUUUUUUACAAAUCUAGUCAAAAGUUAAAAAAAUUAAUCGACAUGUAUGUCAUUUAUUUUGAGGCCUUGUUUAGUUCCCAAAAAUUUUUGUAAAAUUUUUCAGAUUCCCGUCACAUCAAAUCCUUAGACGCAUGCAUUGAGUAUUAAAUAUAGACAAAAAUAAAAACUAAUUAUUUGGUCCGAAUUGAUAGAGACAGCUAUAGUGAAAGCUUGCGGGUCGUUCCGAUGCACAGAUUGCGACCUGUAGCUAAAGCUUGCGACCUGUUCCGAUGCACAGACUGAGACAGCUGUAGUGAAAGCUAAAAGAUACUCUCUCAAAUUAAGUGUGGUUUUUGAAUUGUCUGAGAGACAUAAUUUAAAUAUGCGUAUCCUCUUUCUUAGAAACUUAUUUGCAGAAAUGAUUCUCUUUUAGAUUAUGUUGUUAGAGAAUAUGUCGAAUGGGUAUUAAAUCUUUUGACUAUAGUGUUAUCCAAAGAUUGAAUGUGUUUUAUAUUUUGGAUGUUAUUGUUGGAGAUAGUCUAACAGACUACGGGGGAUAUAAUUUGGGUUGUCCAAAAGGCACAACUCAAAUAUGAGUAUCCUUUCUCUUAUAAAUCUAUUUGCACAAAGAAUUUUUUUUGAUCAUGUUGUUGGAGAAGAUAUCGAAUAGGUAUUGAAUAUGCUCCUUUGACUGUAGUGCUACCAAAAGAUCGAACGGUCUUAUAUUUUAGGUGUUACUGUUGGAGAUAGUAUUAAGUUUAGAGAUGUGGGUAAAUAAAUUGACAAGUCUGUGGCUGAUUACCAUAGAUAUAUUUCACUUAUUUAUCUAUCAUGUUUAUCAAUGGAGGCUUUCUUUAAUUUGUUAGUGGGGUCUUUUGACCCAGGCUCACAAAAACAAUAAAUCCUCUUAUCUUUUCGUUUGCUGUUCACAGUACAAAUAUACAUGUUCACAAGCACACUCACCUCAUUCAGUUUAUAAGCCUCAAUGAAAAAUUAAGUUUGUAAUCUUAAGAUUAGCGAAAGCACUAGAGAUAUUUCAUUGCUGAUGGAGUGAUGGAUAUGCCGUUCAACAAAAUAAUAACGUCGCUGAAUUAUCAAAAUAAAGAAGAUGCAACAACAAGUUUGAAAUUGAUGACUCGAACCUAUAGGACCUAACCAACCAACCAAUUGAGUAGUGAACUAACAAUUAACCUAUGUGUUUAAGGGGGUGUUUAGGACUGCUCUACUAUACGUUUUUUUAGCUCCGCUCCACGUUUUUUAGUUAAAUGGUUUCAGCUUCACGCACGCAUUCAGUUCGAGGAAAAAGUAUGGAGUUGUAAGAGCACCUAAAGAGGUACUCCACAAAUUCCAGUUUUUUGUGGAGCUGCUCCACGGUGGAGUUUGUGGAGCAGUCCGUAGAGCAGCUCCACAAAAAACUGAAGUUUGUGGAGUACCUCUUUAGGUGCUCUCAUAACUCCACCAUUUUUCCUCGAACUGAGUGCGUGGAGCUGAAACCAUUUGGCUAAAAAACAUGAAUCAGAGUUGAAAAACGUAGACCAGAGCAGUCUCAAAACCCCCCUUCUGUCCAUGACUAGCGUGUCUAUUUCCAAUCUAAAACAAAUCUCCAGCGGUAACUGUUUUACUCCGAACCCAACGCACCGUGCAGCGAGCAUGCCCAAUAAUUAAGAAACAUCAAAAAAAAGUGCAUGCUGAGAAAAAUACAACAGCAACAAUUUUUUGAAUAACAUAGACUAACUUUGUUGGUUUUUUCAUUCUUGAAUUUUAUAUACAGAGUGCUGGUAGAUAUGACGUCACAAGUAAAUGCAACAGAGAUAUUUUUUUAAAUGGCUUCGACAGAGACAACUCGCACUGUGUUACAAUUAGAAAUAUAUUUUUUGUAAACAAUUUGUAUUGUGUUUAUCCCACAAUAAGAAAAAUUUCGAACCCUCACCAUAGGUAAUUACUCUAUGAAAUAUACAGCACAAAAUUAGAAAUUGAACAUUGCAAAUAAAUGAAACAGAGUUACAUAAACAAAAAGCAGGUGAUUUCCUUGUAUUCUCUUCAAGGAAAAAAGCAGGUCAUUACUGCAAUUCAGAAUUUCCUUUUCUGGUCCAGACACACAAGGCAGACUUUGUAAUUCUCUGUAUUGGGAGGUUCAGUGGUGUACCCAACACACCUACAUUCCCUCCAGGCAAAGGUCCAGAAGCAUUUGAUGGGCAGGUGAUUCACUCCAUGGACUACGCUAAGAUGGGCACCAAGAAAACCAAGGAGAUGAUCAAAGGCAAGCGUGUGACUGUUGUCGGCUACCUGAAAUCAGCAAUUGACAUUGCUGCUGAAUGCGCUGAAGUAAAUGGUACAGCAAAAGUGCUCUUCAUUAUUACUCCCCUCUAGAAAUCGUACAUAUUGGACUAUGCAAUGCAUAUUGUUGAAUCCUUUCGGACCUUUUUAUCCUAUAAGAAAUGUGCAGCCUUUUUAGCAUUUAGCAAUUGUGCAAUUUUAUAUUAUAUAAACAGGAUAGUCAUGUUGUCUGACAGUUUGUUUUCUGAUCGAUCUCUGUAGGCACUGAUCAUCCUUGUACAAUGGUUGUCCGAACAAAACAUUGGAUCAUACAGGACUACUUUGCUUGGGGAGUCCACAUAUCGCUGUUAUACCUAAAUCGCUUUGCAGAACUACUGAUUCACAAACCUGGUGAAGGCUUUCUCCUUUGGCUCUUGGCCACCCUGUUGGCUCCAUUGGUAAUUCAUUCUGCUAUUCUUCUUAGAACUUACACAUUUGUGUUAAGAAGAUGAUAGAUUUCACAUAAUUAAGCAUCAUGUAUUAAUUCAUGCAUUUUUGCAGAGAUGGCUAUUUUCGAAGUUUGCUGAGAGCUACUACUCCAUCCCAAUGAAAAAGUAUGACAUGGUGCCUGACCACAGCCUGUUUCAAGCACUAGCUACAUGUUUGGUUGCUAUAGAGCCCAAGGGAUUUUAUAAGAGGCUGGAAGAAGGCAGCAUAGUUCUGAAGAAAUCAAAGACGUUUACCUUCUGCAAGGAUGGUGUUGUUGUGGAAGGUGAAGAAUUAUCGCCGAUAAAGAGCGAUAUAGUGAUCUACGGAACCGGGUUCAGAGGUGAUCUGAAGAUCAAGGACAUGUUCACCUCAGAAUACUUCCGCAGCAUUGCAGUUGGAUCAACAUGCACAACUGUGCCUCUCUACAGGUAAGUCAUGUCAUGUGUAUGUAAUUGCAACCAUUAUGCGCUUAAUUAAAUUCUUGAUGUUAUUAACCACUUCAUUGAUCUGCUGCACCCCAUCCAAUGCAAUUCACAGGGAGUGCAUACACCCAAAGAUACCGCAGCUUGCGGUUCUAGGCUAUUCAGAGAGCAUUGCAAACUUGUACACCUCAGAGCUCAGAGCCAAGUGGCUGGCCCAUUUCAUGGAUGGUGGCUUCAGGUUACCAAAUGUUACUGCAAUGCAGAAGGAUAUCCUUGAAUGGGAGAAGUGCAUGAAAAGAUAUGCUGGUAGGUACUUUCGCAGGUCCUGUAUCGGACUCCUUCACAUCUGGUACAAUGAUCAGCUGUGCCGCGAUAUGGGAUGUGAUCCAAGAAGGAAGAAGGGCUUUCUCCAGGAAUUAUUCGGAAUCUAUGGCCCUGGUGAUUAUGCUGAUCUUCACCCCAAGAAAGACUAGACGUUUGGCGGCUUGAUUUCCUGAGGCAGUCGUUAUCUAGAAGUUCUUCACUGAUUUGAGUAUUAUACAUGCUGAAUAAAGUUGGUACUGUGCCUAUAUUGGAUAAUCCUACAACGUUCACAGCUCCUGUUUUAAUUUGCUUCUGGAUCGAGAGUUUCUGUAUUACAUUUUCUUUAGAGGAAUCUGUAUCAUUUCUUGCUGCGUCCUUAGAGCCUACUUGUGCUUCGUCUUAUGGGCCAGAUUAUUAAAGCCCAACGCCAUACUAGAGUUUCAAGCUCUAGCCGGCACAUACAAACCUUUUGCUCUACUGUUAUCCUUGCCGAGGUACUUCUACAUUUUCUUAGGCGUUAUAUUCGAAACCGCUAAGGUAAUUUCAUAUUUUCUUUAGCGUUGUUACAAACUUCCAAGGUAGCAUAGAUGUUAUUCCACAUCACCAAGGAAAAUGCACACUUUCUUGAGUGUAGUUGUAAACGCCAAGUAGUUUCCAUUGUGCAAACCCUCAAGUAAACUGCUGGACUCAUUGCAGCCUUGUUAGUUAAAUAUUGCAUUUUAUAGACACAAAUGGUCCACAUGUUUGUGGAAUAGAAUACGGUUUUUCCUUGGUGCACUAAUCCAACAAAAGGUACGUACAGGCCUGUUCGUUGGUCUGAAAAGUUAAGACUGAAAUUACUAUUGGCUGAUUUAUUGUGAGAGAAAAACACUGCUGGCUGACAGAUGUUUAGUUAGUUCUAAUGUUAAAAUGCAACAUAGUCUCUUGGUUAUGCUCACAUGAGUGUACCUACUCUACUUUAUAUUGUGCCUAUGAAUAGACAUAAUCGCUAAUAAGUGCAUAAGACAGAAAUAUAUAUAUUUCACAAAUCAAGUUGGAUGAAGACGAGCUUAAUAUCAAGAUUGUAUAGUUGAUGACAUUUUUAUUUGAAAUAACUAAGUGCCCAAAAUCAUGUUCUAAGUUCUUAGAUUUUCUAAAUUUAAGUUUUUUUAAUGUUGUCGAAACGACUUAGAUGGGGAUAUGACCGAAACUAAAGUUACAGCACUCGACCAAAGAUUUUGAAGCAGGUUUCAUUCUUGAGCUGCAAAACUAAAUAUCACACUCCUAGACUCUCAGAACCAUUCAAAUUACCUCCUUGCUAUGAUUUCAAGGGUAAUGAAGAUGUUUUUGUCUUUUUGAAUUAAAAACAUAAAUACUUCAUAAUGUUUUUAAACCACAAAAAAUGUCUCCAAGCUCAUAAAUUUUUUUGAGAAAAAUCCUAGAAAUAUAUUGGGAUACAACGUAUCCAAAUAAAAUAUUUAGAGCUCGUAAAAAUAUAGCUAGAAGCUUCUAAAAUUUUCCUCUAAGAAAAUAGUAAAAUUAUCUAGAAAAUUUGCAAAACAUAUUAAUUAGUGUAAACAUGUUUCGAAAACUUCCACAAUAAAAAUCUAACAUAAUGAGGACAAAUAAAUUAAACGUUAAUUAGUGUUGCAUCUAUGAUAGUUGCAUCUCAUAUUUUUUUUUAUUAUAAAAAGGUUUCAAUACACGUUUACUCAUAGAUUCGAGAUUGGUUUUUAGUUUUUCCUAGAUAUUUCCCCCAUUUUCAAGAGCUAAAUGUAACUUUAGAAUCUUCUAGAUAUACUUUUAUGACCUCUAAUAUUUGGAGGAUUCAUCUUAUCCCAAUCUGUCUUUAUGAUCUUUUUUUUUUGGAAUUUUUAAAAGUUUAGAAAUUUUUUGCGGUUUAGAAAUCUUAUUAAGUAUUUAUUAGAUUUUAUAUUAACUAAUAAAGAGUGUAAAAGCGUUUAAAACCACUUCAAACCAGGGGGCACAUAGCUAAUUCCAAUGGUUUUGAAUAUUCAAGGUGCGAUGCCAGGUUUUAGAAUUGGAAAUUCAGGUUUAAGACUUAAAUACAGCAGUCGAACACUUUCUGCAAAAUCAAAUGAUGAUGAUCGGGUGACGUUUCGUGAUGUCGGAACUUCCACGAUUACGGAACCCUCUAGAACAACUAUCCUUGAAAAAAAAAAAAGAAAAUCAACUGCAUUCUGUCAAAGGUGCUCCGAUUUUGCAGCAGGGUGGGGUCAAAUCAGAAGAGACGAAAGUGGUAGAAAGCUUGAGAGUUUGAGAAUCAAAUCAAAUCAACUGAAUCCACUUCAGCAUAAAUCUCAUCCUCCAGAAACACGUUGCUCUCGUCGCGAGACAUCCCUUGCUUUCUCCACGUCUCCACUUCAUUCCAUUCCUCCCUCCCUUUUCUGCCAUCCGUUUCCUACAAAACCAGAGCUGCCGCCUGCUCCACAGUCUAACACAAACCAGAGCUGCUGCUGCUGCCCUGUUUCUUGUCCAACAGCUGCUGCUGCUGCUUCACUUCCUCUGCUUACACAGAGCAACCAGUUGUCAGCAGCAAUGUCUGCACCCAUGGUGGACGCCGAUUACAUGGCCGAGAUCGAGAGGGCGCGGCGGGACCUCCGCGCCCUCAUCUCCAGCAAGAACUGCGCGCCCAUCAUACUCCGCCUCGCGUACGACCUCAUCACAAACAUGUGUGGCGUGGUGUGGUCUGAUUUGCUUGUAACAUCUUCUUGCUGAACAUCCAAUGGCUUUUUUUUCUGAUGUUGCAGAUGGCAUGACGCCGGCACUUACGACGCCAAGACCAACACCGGAGGCCCCAACGGGUCCAUAAGGCUCCCACAGGAGUACAGCCACUCUUCAAAUGCAGGGCUCAAGAUUGCCAUUGACCUGCUAGGUCAGUUUUUUUCUAGCUCCUAGUAGUGAACAUAUAUUUGGAGUCAGAUACAUCAAGUGGAUCAAGUCUUGAUGACACCACACUUCUGCUUCCUCCUGCGCAGAGCCAAUAAAACAGAAGCACACCAAGAUCACAUAUGCAGACCUGUAUCAGGUACUACAGUCUACAGCUAUGUCCCCAUGGACUAUUUAUUUACUCAAUUGAUGCAUACCAUGGUUAAUUGAAUUGUGUUUCAUCAACUAGCUCACCGGAGUUGUCGCCGUCGAAGUUACUGGUGGACCAACCAUUGAUUUCGUUCCUGGCAGAAAGGUUAGUUAGUACUGUACAAGUGGCAACCUCAGAUUCUAUCAUUACUGAGUAUAUAUCAUCUUGUCAGAGCUUCUUAUUCUAGCUUUUCAUGUCUGUAAUAACCAGGAUUCGUCGGCUUGUCCAGAAGAAGGACGCUUGCCAGAUGCUAGAAAAGGUUGCUUCGUAACACAUCUUUAGAAGCUUCUUUAUAUAUAUAUAUAUAUAUAUAUAUAUAUAUAUAUAUAUAUAUAUAUAUAUAUAUAUAUAUAUAUAUAUAUAUAUAUAUAUAUAUAUAAGAUACACAGAAUUGGUACACACAAGAGAGUUUUCAGCAUUACAACGUACCUUCGAUGUUUAUGGGACGGAUGUUCCAAAUUCAGCUCUUCUGCAUUACUGAAAAACUUUCAAUUCUUCUUGCUCUUAUCUGUCACAAGGUGCUUCGCAUCUUAGAGAAGUCUUCUACCGGAUGGGUUUAUCUGACAAGGACAUUGUGGCACUCUCCGGCGGUCAUACUCUGGUACACAAGAACAUCUUUUCUUGUUCAUGCAUUAUAGCAAGCAUAUUUUUUUUCUUAGAGAAGGGUUAACAAAUAUGAACAUGGUCUCAAUUAGAUUAACGUGGUUUAGUUCCUUUUUAUCUAAAUUUGUGCCACACAAUGCAAAUUUCAGGGAAGAGCACAUCCAGAGAGGACAGGAUUUGAUGGCCCAUGGACCAAGGAACCUCUGAAAUUUGACAACUCUUAUUUUGUGUAAGCCUUAAGCUGACUAUUUCAAAAACCUAACACACGAUUAUUGCCUUUAUUUUUUCUCAGAUUAUUAUGGUUGGUAAUGUCACACCUGUGUAUAUCACUUCACAUCCAAUGAUGCAGUGAGCUUCUGAAAGGCGAUUCUGAAGGGCUCUUGAAACUCCCUACUGACAAGGUUCUUGUGGAAGAUCCUGAAUUCCGUCAGUACGUCGAACUAUAUGCCAAGGUACACAACUAUUCAGUUAC